RNAcentral lists this long non-coding RNA (57873 nucleotides) under Capsicum annuum. RNAcentral describes it as "long non-coding RNA (CANN_LNC016724)". The record is from RNAcentral. Lineage: Eukaryota; Viridiplantae; Streptophyta; Magnoliopsida; Solanales; Solanaceae.
AAUCAUAACAGGAAUACACCCCCACCAAUUAAUUCCCUACACUAGCGACCCGAACUGGCCCUAAUCCUCUGCCGUAAUUCGCAUCUUCCAGACCUUCCUAUCUAGGGUCAUGUCAUAAAGCUUUAAGUUAAUUUUCUAAACAAACAUCGAACUUUGCAAUCAUAUGAUUAACUUAAGCCUAACAAACAAUAACUCCAUUACGGAGCAAAUCUUCACCAUAGGUUUUGGCUAAAAAGAUGUACUCAAUCAUAUAACAAAUAGGACCAAGCAUUCCAACUCUUAUUAAGGGAUCACUUUAUGGUAAGGGAACUUGAUUAUAUUGAAGGUUUAAUCAAUUUAAGAACUCUUAGUAAGCUAUACGUAUUUGCAUAAAAACAUGAUUACUUUAUAGUAAGAACAGUUUAUGGUAUAGAAGUAUAUAACAACAACAACAUACCAGUGUAUUCCCACAUAGUGGGGUUUGGGGAGAGUAGAGUGUACACAGACCAUACCACUACCUCAGGUGAAGUAGGUGAAGUAGAGAGGCUGUUUCCGAUAGACCCUCGGCUUAGGACCGAUAACAGUAUAGCGAUCACAAACAUAAAUGUGUACAGUAUGCAAAAUAAACUAACCCCCUCGGGUCAAUCCACACAUCCAGCGCAACAUCCGCAUUUCUGCCACCUUCAUUUUUUGGAUGUGGGAGUUCUUAACUGGCCAACACUCCGCUCCAUACAGCAAGGCCGGACGGACUACCACCCUAUAGAAUUUGCCUUUAAGCUUGGGCGGCACCUUCUUAUCACACAGCACCCCCGAUGCGAGUUUCCACUUCAUCCAUCCCGCCCCAAUACGGUGCGAGACAUCCUCGUCAAUCUCACCGUUACUCUGGAUCACGGACCCGAGAUACUUGAACUUAUCCCUCUUCCCUACCUCCUGUGCUUCUAGCCUCACUACUACCUCAUUCUCCCGCCUCACGUCAUUAAACUUACAUUCCACUGUCCUAGACGACUAAUGUUAAAGAGUACGUAACACCAGAUGUUAGGUUGCACAGAAGGAAUCACAAAAGAAAAUAAGAACUUCGUGAAAAAUAUCACAUGACAAUUGAUGAUUUUAUAAACCAGAUGAUUCAGAGAACAUCGGGUCUCAAGUUACUGCAAAUUCAUACAACAGGAUCAACCAUAUGAAGGGCGAUAUACUGGUUAACAGUCUUCGAUGAACUUAAAAGUAGUGAUUAGCUCGCCUACUACUAUCUAUCUACAUGCUAUGGCAGAAAAGAUUGGAGAAUAGUACCUCUGUAUCUGUGCUUUUAUAAUAUCAACGAGAUCCUGAGCAGUGACACUGCAAUGAACAUGACGUCAAAAGGUAGACCAAAUAUACACCAAGAUGCUCAUCAAAAUUUAGUAUUUCACCGACCUUCCAAAGAUUUGCUUUCCUUUCCCACCCUUACGCUUCACCUUGAAGGCUCCAACAGUUUCAAAAAUUCGAGCAAGCUGUUGUGCCUCAUCUUUCACCUGGAUUCAAGAUUAAACAUUUAACUAAACCACAUUCGUCAUGGAACUGUUGACUCUCUGUAGGUCAAAUCCGGUCGUGACUUGAAAAUUAAAAAUUUAUAGUUUUUCAAAUUUCAACAGAUUCGACUAAUAAGAAAUCUACUUACCCGUUGUUUCUCCGCUUCAAUUCUCUCCUCUUCCAUCUUCAUUUCCCUGAGAAGAGAAGCAUGCAAUUUUGUAAUGUCUUUUUCAGGACUAUUGCACGAUUAAUGUUAGCAGCUGGUUAGGCCUAUUAAUCACCCCAAAGCUAAAGGCCAAGUCACUAAGUAGUAAGGAAAAAAGAGUAACGUCACUAAGCAGUAGGAAAUCCAAAGCUUUAUAUCCAGUUGAUUAUCCAUACUUAUACAAACGUGGACCAGAUAUUAAAAACAAAUCAAUAGUCAAUGUUAUAUUUUGCUAAAACAAGUGAGCUUACUUAAAACUUAUGAUCAUUAAACAUAAUAGGCACAAUCAAUGAGCAAAAACGUAGAGCUUUUGUACUAACCAUGAGUUCUAAAGCCAAAGUUACCAUAUUUCUGCUCAAGGAAUAUCGACAAUGAUUAGGCAUCAUUCUGGUACGGCUUCUGCUCACCGUUAUGUAUAUCCAUGGGUACAUUCACUUAUCAGCUAGUUACUAGUAGUUCAAAGGAUCCCCAUAGAGUAAAUAUAUUGUAUAACUAUGUUAUUUCCGUUCCGCACUAAUCCAUCAACAUAGAUGACUGAUUAGACAACACAAGCAAUAGUAAUAACAUAAUUCCACUCAUGAGCAAAGCGUAUGUAGCAUACUAAUUAGUUGAAGCAAAGAUUCCUGAAGGUUCAAAACUGCCCCUAGAUAUGCAAAAUGGAACAACUUUGCCCGCUAAAGCAGUGUCUUAUUCUUACCCCGCUGUUACAGAAGUGGCUCAAUUGUACCCCUACCUUGUGUGAGGUAGAAAGGUUGUUUUCGACAGACCCUACACUCGGCUCAAGAAAGGAGUUUUCAAAAACAUGUUUGACAAAUACAAGAGUAAAAAACAUAGUGAAAAUACGAUAGGAUACUCGCAACAAAAAUACUAAAGACAACCCAAGUAAAAGGAACAAUAAUAGUAGUAAUACAGUAGAAGAAUAAUGAUAAUGAUACAAUAUUAGCAAACUUUUAACUAAACACAAAAUGUAGCUAAUGAAAGAAGAAUCUAAAAGGCAAUGAAAGCAAAUGGUAAAAAUUAAGCUCCAUAGAGAAUUAACAAGUUGUACUUGAUAAGUGCAGCUGUCACAAUUUGAGCUUUCCCCGUUGGUAGCAGAUAAUUCCUAAAGAAUCCAGCUCUAACGUCCAAAAGUUCCCCCUUUUUACCCAACUGUGUUAUAUCCUCUGUCAGUAUUAUCUGCUCAAUCAAACAAAAAAUCCCACUUAGCUACAACCCAGAAAUGGGCAAAAAAAAUGAGAUUUUGACAAUAAUAAUUAAACUACAACAUCAACAUCCCCAGUGUGAUUCCACAAGUGGAGUCUGUGGAGGGUAGAGUAUACGCAAACCUUACCCCUACCUCGUAGAGAUAGAGAGGAUGUUUUUGAUAGAACCUCUGGCUGACGUAGCGCAUCUCAAAGUAGUUUGAAAAAGGGAAAACAAAAAUGAAAGUAGUAACAACAACAUACCCAGAGAGAGGGUAGAAUGUACGCAGACGUUACCACUAUUUCAUAAAGAUAGAAAGAGGGAAACAUUUCAUUUCCAAUAGACCCCUGGCUCAAGUAAUGUAUCUCAAAGCAAUUUGCAAAAAGGAAUACAGAAAUGAAAGCAGUAACAACAAUGAAAUAAAGCACUAUAGUAAUAAAUUGAACCUACUAUCAACAUUUUCAACAACAUACACCAUUCAAUCCCAUAAUUGGGGGUCGGGGAGGGUAGAGUGUACACAUAACUUGUCCCUACCUCGUAAAGACACAGAGGAUGUUUCCGAUAGACCCUCGGCUCAAGUAAUGCAUCUCAAAGCAGUUUGCAAAAGGGAAUACGGAAAUAAAAGCAGUAACAACUAACAACAACAACAAAGACAUAGAGAAGCUAUUUCUAAUUGACCCUCUGAUGCGAAUUAAAACCCCAUUGAGCUAUAAAUUGAACCCCAUUAUGACAUGUCUUUCCAAGAAAGACUUCACCUUUCGUAAUUUCUUGGUUUUCUUAUUGUUAAAAAAAGUGAGGUCUUGGUAGAGUAGCGUGUAUGCAGACCUUAAAAGAUCGAGAGACUAUUUUCGAUAGACCCGUAGAAGUUAAAAGAAAAACCAUUUAGCUAAGAGUUAAUGGUUCAAACACACACCUAAAGUAUUUCAUACCUAAACUAUCAAGUGUGCAUUUCCUACCUGAACUAUCACCAACUAGUUAGCAAAACACACUUAAACUAUUAAUGACCCACUUUUCCUACCAGAAAUUUCAGGUAUGAAACUCAAAAAUUUAGUAGUUUAGGUGUGUUUUGCUAACUAGUCAGUGGUAGUUCAGGUAGGAACUCACACACAUGAUAGUUCAGGUAUGAAACUCAAACAAGUUAAUAGUUUAGGUGUGUUUUGCUAACUAGUCAAUGGCAGCACAGGUAGGAACUCACACACAUAAAAGUUCAGGUAUGAAACUCAAAACAAUUAAUAUUUUAGGUGUGUUUUGAUAACUAGUCGGCGGUAGUACAGGCAGAAAACUUCAGGUAUGAAACUCAAACAAUUAAUAAUUUAAGUGUGUUUUGCUAAAUAAUCUGUGGUAGUUCAGGUACGAAGCUUACAUACAUGAAAGUUUAGGUAUGAAACUCAAACAGUUAAUAAUUUAGGUGUGUUUUGCUAACUAAUCGGCGGCAGUUCAGGAAAGAAACUCACACACAUGAGAGUUCAGAUAUGAAACUCACACACAUGAUACCUAGAUAUGAAACUCACACACAUGAUAGUACAAUUAUAAAACUCACACACAUGAUAGUGCAAGUAUAAAACUCAAACAAUUAAUAGUUCAGGCAGGAAACUCACACACAUGAUAAUUCAAGUAGAAAACUCACACAUGAUAGUUCAGGUAGGAAACUCACACACAUAAUAGUUCAGGUAGAAAACUCACACAUGAUAGUUCAGGAAGGAAACUCACACACAUGAUAGUUCAGGUAUGAAACUCACACACAUGAUAGUUCAGGUAUGAAACUCAAACAAUUAAUAGUUCAGGUAAGAAACUCACACAUGAUAGUUCAGGUAGGAAACUAGUUCAGGUAGGAAACUCACACACAUGAUAGUUCAGGUAUGAAACUCAAACAAUUAAUAGUUUAGGUGUGUUCUGCUAACUAGUCGAUGGCAGCUCGGGUAGGAAAUUCACACAUGAUACGCAUAAAAUCCAAACAAUUAAUAGUUUAGGUGUGUUUUGCUAACUAGUCGGCGGUUGUUCGGGUAGGAAACUCACACACAUGAAAAUUCAGGUAUGAAACUCAAACGAUUAAUAGUUUAGAUGUGUUUUGCUAACUAGUCGGUGGUUUUCGGGUAGAAAACUCACACACAUGAAAGUUCAGGCAUGAAACUCAAACAAUUAGUAGUUUAGGUAUGUUUUGCUAACUAGUUGAUGGUAGUUCACGUAGUAAACUCACACACAUGAUAAUUGAGGUAUGAAACUCAAACAAUUAAUAGUUUUGGUGUGUUUUGCUAAUUAGUCGGUGGUAGUUCAGGUAGAAAACUCACACACAUAAAUGUUCAGGUAUGAAACUCAAACAACUAAUAGUUUAAGUGUAUUUUGCUAACUAGUCGGUGGUAGUUCGGGUAGGAAACUCACACACAUGAUAAUGAUAAUUCAUGUAUGAAACUCAAACAAUUAAUAUUUUAGGUGUGUUUUGCUAACUCGUCGGUGGUAGUACAGGUAGGAACUCACACACAUAAAAGUUCAGGUAUGAAACUCAAACAAUUAAUUGUUUAGGUGUGUUUUGCUAACUAGUCGGUGGUAGUACAGGCAGAAAACUUCAGGUAUGAAACUCAAACAAUUAAUAGUUUAGGUGUGUUUUGCUAAUUAGUCUGUCGUAGUUCAGGUAGGAAACUUACAUACAUGAAAGUUCAGGUAUGAAAUUCAAACAGUUAAUAAUUCAGGUGUGUUUUGCUAACUAGUCGGCGGCAGUUCAGGUAAGAAACUCACACACAUGAUAGUUCAGGUAUGAAACCCACACACAUGAUACCUAGAUAUGAAACUCACACACAUGAUAGUUCAAUUAUGAAACUCACACACAUGAUAGAUCAAGUAUAAAGCUCAAACAAUUAAUAGUUCAGGUAAGAAACUCACGCACAUGAUAGUUCAGGUAGGAAACUCACACACAUGAUAAUUCAAGUACGAAACUCACACACAUGAUAGUUCAGUAUGAAACUCAAACAAUUAAUAGUUCAAGUAAGAAACUCACACACAUAAUAGUUCACGUAGGAAACUCACACACAUGAUAGUUCAGUAUGAAACUUAAACAAUUAAUAGUUCAGGUAAGACUCACACACAUAAUAGUUCACGUAGGAAACUCACACACAUGAUAGUUCAUGUGUGAAACUCAAACAAUUAAUAGUUUAGGUGUGUUUUGCUAACUAGUCGGUGGUAGUUCAGAUGGUAAACUUACACACAUGAUAGUUCAGUAUGAAACUCAAACAAUUAAUAGUUCAGGUAAGACUCACACACAUAAUAGUUCACGUAGGAAACUCACACACAUGAUAGUUCAUUUAUGAAACUAAAACAAUUAAUAGUUUAGGUGUGUUUUGCUAACUAGUCGGUGGUAGUUCAGGCAGAAAACUUCAGGUAUGAAACUCAAACAAUUAAUAGUUUAGGUGUGUUUUGCUAAAUAGUCUGUCGUAGUUCAGGUAGGAAACUUAGAUACAUGAAAGUUCAGGUAUGAAACUCAAACAGUUAAUAAUUCAGGUGUGUUUUGCUAACUAGUCGGCGGCAGUUCAGGUAAGAAAAUCACACACAUGAUAGUUCAGGUAAGAAACUCACACACAUGAUAGUUCAGGUAUGAAACCCACACACAUGAUACCUAGAUAUGAAACUCACACACAUGAUAAUUCAAUUAUGAAACUCACACACAUGAUAGAUCAAGUAUAAAGCUCAAACAAUUAAUAGUUCAGGUAGGAAACUCACGCACAUGAUAGUUCAGGUUAUAAACUCACACAUGAUAGUUCAGGUAGGAAAUUCACACACAUGAUAAUUCAGGUAUGAAACUCACACACAUGAUAGUUCAGUAUGAAACUCAAACAAUUAAUAGUUUAGGUAAGAAACUCACACACAUAAUAGUUCAUGUAGGAAACUCACACACAUGAUAGUUCAGUAUGAAACUCAAACAAUUAAUAGUUCAGGUAAGACUCACACACAUAAUAGUUCACGUAGGAAACUCACACACAUGAUAGUUCAUGUAUAAAACUCAAAUAAUUAAUAGUUUAGAUCUUCUACUAAAAAACAAAGAUUUUGAAAAUAAUAAAUUAAACCCCAUUAUGACAAUAUUUUUCAAGAAAGACUUAACCUUUCGUAUUUUCUUGGUUUUCUUUUGAGCUACAAUUGUUAAAAUUGAACUUCUUUCUGAUAAUUUUGUAUUUUCAGCAUUUGUAAUUUUUGCUAAGCUGCAAAAAGAUGAACUCCAUGAUAGAUUUGCCAUACCUACUUUGAAUUUUUUUCUGUAAUUUUUUUCACAGUAUAAAUGUUAUCUUAUCAGUAAUGGCAAGCUGAAGAAGAUAGUGGGGAUGGUAAUACUUUAACGGGUCAAAAAAAAGUUAUUGGGCUGGUUUCUUCAUGGACCAGUUAUUGGUCCAAUUAUCAUUUUUGGGCCAUUUUUUCUUGGGCAAACAACGUAAAUCCCGAUAGUUUAAAGCUUAGUUACAAAAAAAUUCAAUAUUUGCAUAAUUACUAAAAUUUUGAUUUUGAAUUUAUCGUAAUUAGCUCUCGAUAUCUAAUGAAGAUACAUUUUUCCUUUGUAAGGAUACAUAAUUAGCUUCCGAUAUAUUUUUUCAAUUUUUGGGUCUGUCAAGAUACAUAAUUAUCUCCCGAUACAUCCAACAAAGAUACAUAAUUAGUUGAAAUUUUUGUAAUUACUCUGUAACGGUGGAAAUUUGCAAUAUAAUAAGUCAAGGUGUAUAUUUAUAUUUUUUUGUUUUGUUUUCUUUUCAUAGGCUUACACAGAAGGCCCUCAAAUGUAUGGUCUUGAAAUUUUAGGAAAAAUAACAUAAAUAUACACCAUAACUUACCACAUUUACACAAAUCGUUAUCCUUAAUUGUGUAAUUACAAAAAUAUCAAUUAAUUGUGUAUCAUCGUUGAUGCAUCUAAAGCUAAUUAUGUGUCUCGACAGACCCAUGAUCGAAAAAAAUGUAUCGAGAGAUGAUUAUGUAUCUUAACAAAGGAAAAAAUGUAUCUUCGUUGAAUUUAUUUUAUAUUUUGACAGACCCAAAAUCAACAAAAAUGUAUCAAAAGUUAAUAAUGUAUCUUUAUAAAGAAAAAAAUGUAUCUUUAUUGAAUGUAUCGAAAGCUAAUUAUGUAUCUAGACAGAACCAAAAUUGGAAUUUUCAAUAAUUAUUCAAAAUGUUGGGCUUUUCUGUUAUUAAGCUCCAAAUUAUCGGAAUUUAUGUUGCUUACCAGAAAUUUUAUUCCCAGUAAAUAAGUUCUAACUUUUGUCUAUGAGACAGAACUUUUGGUCAAUGUGUUAGUUUAGUAUCUUGAAAUGUCAUGAAUAUUUUAUCUUAUGGGCGAUAUAUCUAAGUUCUAAUCACGUACGUUAGUUCAUGGACACAUUUUAAUCAAAAUACAUGAGGAUAUAAUCAAAUUCGUUCUCAAACCAACCUUCAUAUGGAUAAUAAAUAACUCUUGGACAUAUAAAUAACGCCUAAGAUCAAGGGUAAUUUGGUCAUAAUAUUUGCUUCUGCUUCUCAAGUAGCUUCCUCAACUAGUUGAUUUCUCCAAAGAGCUUAUGCAUAAUGUGCCCCAAAUUGGUCGGCCUUGAACUCGUAUCGCCGCUAAAUAAUUUCUAAUGUUUGCAUAUAGGAUAGAACUUCUAGCAAAUUAUGCAGGUUCAAUUUCUUGAAAUGUCAUGUACGUCUACCUUAUGACAAAAGUUAGAACGUCUACUUUACGAGAUUUAUUGAGCAUGACCAAAAAAUCAUUUGUUGGACCAAAACUAACCAUAGAUACGAUAAACUUGCAUCUAUUGGAAAUUAUGACUACGUGCAUGAAAAAAUUCAUUUUUCAUGGAGCUUUGUGAAUGCAUUAAUUAAACAUGCAAUUAUCCCCAAAUUAUGCAACUUAAUUUUAACAUUAAGAGAAAUUAGAAAAAGAUAAUUUUUCCAUUAAGGACUAGAUCACAUUAUGUGUUUGGUAUGAGGAAAAUAUUUUUCAUCAAAAUAGUUAUUAUUUAUUUAUAUUUUUAGUGUUUUUAAGUGAAUAAAAAGAAAUAUUGUUUCACAAGCAUUUGUAUGUAUUAUAUAGAAACUACAAUUGUGGUGGGUAGAGUGGAGAGGGGGUCGGGGUCGGGGUCAGUAUUGAAGUUGAAAAUUUCGUUAAGGAUAUUCAAGAUUUGAUAUUUAUAUGUACGAAAAAUAAUAUUUGACGUAUAUACUUCGUAUAAUUUUCUCACCCUUCACUAUAUGUGGCUACGCUCCUGGUUGGGGGUGGACAGGGUUAGGUGAUCGGGGAAGAGACAACAAGCUUAUAUAUUUACUUAUAAUGUAACCUUUUUUUCUAAUUCAUACUUGGGAGGUCACGGGUUCAAACCUCGGAAACAGCCUCUGGCGGAAAUGCAAGAUAACACUGCAUACAAUAUACCCUUGUGGUGGGGCCUUUCCCCGAACCCUGCACAUAACGCGAGUUUUAGUGCAUCGGACUGCCUUUUUUUUAUACUUGAAAAAAAAUUCUAAUUUUCUUAAAAUAAUAAAUUAAAGAAGUUUUUUUAUCAAAUAUGAAAAAAUUGAAUUUUUUUUUUUUUUUUUUACUAUAUAUCAAAUACACCCCUAAUUAAUGUAUACAUUUUCACCUUAAAUUUCUGUGGAAGAAGAUUUUAAUUUUAAGUUUUAGCCUCAUAAUCACAUGAUCACACGAUUAUAACUCUUUACUAUUAUAAGUUUUAACCAUAGAUAGAAUAUUGGAGUAAAAGUUUAGAAUUCGUUAUUCAAAUCAAAUUAGUAAAUGCAUGAUAUUUAUUUGUACAUAUACGAAAUAUUACAUAACUAUGAUUAGCAAUAAAUGUAUAUCUUCACUUCAUUGAAUCAUAUAAGUUAUAUUGAUUUGAUGCAAGUCUGCGAUAUAAUUAAAUGAAUACUACUUAUUUAUUUGUCGAAUAUUAGCUAUGGAUUAAUUAAAAUAUUACAACACAAAAAGUAGGAAACGUCAGUAGUCCCUACCCAAUAAAGUGACAUUUUGUGGUUAGAUUCUCAAUUUUCAAAAAAUUGAAUUAAAUUUAACAAAAAAUAUGACAGCUCCAAAAUUCCAAUAAAUUAAUACAAAUGUGGAAAUGGUCAGUACAUUAUCUGUUAAAUAAAUAAAUAAAAUAAAUCUCUUUUAAUUACAACUUCAUGCGUGAAGCUAAGGUUGCCACUAAUCAACCAACAAAAAUAGUUUGAACAAAAUAUAUCAUAUAAUUGUUUUUAACAACCAAACAUAUUAAGAAAUUUUAAUAAUUAGGGUGUGUUUGGUAUAGAUUUUUCAAAUUUUUUCAUAUUUGGUUGGAUAAUAUUUUUGAAAAUUAUUUUCUCUACGCAAAAAAUACGAAUUCACCAUCAGGUCCCUGAGGAAUAUUAGACAACAACAAUAACGAAACUAAAAAUGAAGUUUGCUGAAACGAAAUAACACGAGAUUUUACGUAGAAUUCUCCUUGCUCAAGGGAGGAAAACCAUGUCCUGUCCUCACUGGAUUUUCCAAGCUUCACUAUAAUCAAGCAACCUUUGAUUACAGACUUAAAAAGGAUUUAACUCUAAAUCCAUGUAAUAACUCUAUUACAACCAGAUGGGACAACUCUUCCUCACCUCUCCAGCUAAUCAACUAGCUCUAGUCGAUCAAAGCUAGGUAGCUUUACCUAAGCAAACACUCAACAUAAUCAGGGAAGUUAUUACUCACAAUCACAAGAGUAAACUUCUAUUCUAGAAUAAGAUUCAAGACUCAGGAAAGUAAAAAGGCUGAAAGCUAAUAGGUCUCUCUUAGCAGCUUCGUAUUUCUUGAGCUAGAGCAGCUUUUGUGAUUUCUGAAAAAAAUAAUUUGUGCAAAAAUUAGGUGUGAUCACUUCUUUACUCAUGUAUGUUGAAGGACGAUUCGAAGAAUAUUCCAUUGGACCAGGUGUUCGCUCAUCGUAUGUUGCACACCGACACAGUAAUGAUGCUACAUGACAAAACUGUACAGUGCACAUGAAUGUACAACUAUCCCACGCCAUUCCUCAAAAAGUAAGUAUGUGACGGACCUGGUCCCUGAAUAUUCUGGAAGUCAUCAUCAAAACUUAAUUCAACAACAAAUACAACUGGAAAUCUAAGUUUAUUGUCUCCUCCGCAUCCACUCAACUCCAUCCAAACCCCAACCCUUAACUGCCCCACGGUCGUCACGGCUGAGGCUCUACUCUACACCCCCUUUCGAUGCACCCUCAUAAUGUUUUGGUUACAUAUAAAUAUUCUUGAAAUAUAUUUUUUUUUAUUUACUCACCAAACAGUAAGAAAUAUGUAAGCAACACAAUUGUUUUCCAAAAAAUCAUUUUUCAUCAAAAAUAUUUUUCUCAUACCAAACACAUGCUAAGUCAAACAAAAGUUUGUGUCCCCCCCCCCCCCACCACCACCACUCUAAACUAUAAUUAUAAAAUUAUUCUCUUUCUAAAGAAUUUGUCUUAAUAUAUGAUAUGGUAGUAUUUGAGGAAGGCCUUAAGUGGUACUUAUAUUAUUUGAAUCUCAAAAGUUGACUUAACAUUGUAUCACUAUUCCUCUCUGGCUUAUUAUUUUUUUUCAUUACCAAAACGUCACCAAAAAAAAACAUUAUAAUUAUUUUCUUCCCCUUCUUAUAUGAUCAAAUUGUUGAAGAAAAUUAUGUUUUUUUUUUUCAAGAGAAAAUUAAAGGUUUCUUGAAGAUGAAUAUUCAAGGGACAACUAGUAGUAAUCCAUGUUUCCCUAAUAGUACUACUAAUAAUCCACAAAACUUACCAUUAUAUGAAUCUAUUCAUCAUCAUAAUAUUCAAGAAGAUAUAUUUUCUUCAUCAUUAGUCCAUAAUUCUCAUCAACAAAAUUCAUUUUUAUUCAACUUAUCUCUUCUCAAAGACAAAGUUCAUCAAGUUCAAUCACUUGCCACCAUGUUUGUUUCUCAUGAUGAUCAAACGUUAACUCACCAUCCUCAUGAGUCAACGUCUGUAGCUAUCGCGAAUAUGGGAACUUUGAUCCAAGAAAUCAUCACGAUUGCUUCUUCUCUCAUGUUUUCUUGUCAAAAGAUUGCACUCGACCCCAGUUCAGCUAGCCAGAAUUCAAGUAUAUUUCGCGAACCAUCUCAAAUGAUCAAGAUUCAAGACGAUGGUCAUGGUCGUGGUGAUGGUCAGAUGGAUCACUUGCUUCAAGAUUAUAAUUGGUAUGAAGAGAAUUACAAUUAUUGUAACACUCAUGAAGAUAACAAGAAUCAUGUUACUAGUAGUAUUAUAGCUAGCAAUGCUAUUAGUAGUCAUGAUUAUGAUAGUAAAGAAUUUGGAAAAAGGGAAGUAUUAUUGAGUACUUCAAAAGGGAAAGUUCAUGUGAAUAAUGAAGACAAUUAUGAUAUUAUUGAGUUAGAUGCAUCUGAUUUAUUGGCAAAGUAUACACACUAUUGUCAAAUAUGUGGUAAAGGGUUUAAAAGAGAUGCAAAUUUGAGAAUGCAUAUGAGGGCUCAUGGAGAUGAAUACAAGUCUAGUGCUGCAUUGAGUAAUCCUUUGAAGAAAAACAACCAUGAUUAUGUAUCACAAUUGAUCGGUAACAAGAUUAAGUAUUCGUGUCCACAAGAAGGUUGCAAGUGGAACAAGAAACACGCAAAGUUUCAGCCAUUGAAAUCGAUGGUGUGUGUGAAGAAUCACUAUAAAAGAAGCCAUUGUCCUAAGAUGUAUGUGUGCAAGAGAUGCAACAAGAAGCAAUUUUCUGUGUUGUCUGAUCUUAGAACUCAUGAGAAACAUUGUGGUGAUUUGAAAUGGCAAUGUUCAUGUGGUACUACUUUUUCAAGAAAGGAUAAACUUAUGGGACAUGUUUCUUUAUUUGUUGGACACACCCCACUUAUAAAAGAAAGCGUAAGUUAGCGCUAGUACAACAACAACAUAUCCAAUGCACGUAAUCCCACAAGUCGGAUCUGGAGAAAGCGUAAGCUAGCGCUAGUACGACAACGACAACAUAUCUAGUGUAGUCUCACAAGUCGAAUCUGGGGAGGGUAGAAUGUAUGCACACCCUACUGUUACCUCGUGAAAGUAGAAAGGUUGUUUACGAAAGUCCUUCGAGUACUCAUGUGAUCUGGCUAGUAUAUUUUACAACUUAGUUGAGUUUGUAAUGUAAUGCACCUAUAUAUCUUUGUUGUAAAAAUGUUAUUGUGCUUGUAAUUAGAUGAAUCAAUGUGAGAAUUAUCCUAGUACAACAACAACAAUAUAUCCAGUGUAGUCUCUCACAAGUCGGAUCUGGGGGAGGGUAGAAUGUAUGCACGCCCUACUGUUACCUCGUGAAGGUACAGAGGUUGUUUACAAAAAACCCUCGAGUACUCAUGUGACCUAGCUAGUAUAUUUUACAACUUAGUUGAGUUUGCAAUGUAAUGCACCUAUAUAUCUUUGUUGUAAAAAUGUUAUUGUGCUAGUAAUUAGACGAAUCAAUGUGAAUAAUUAUCCUAGUACAACAACAGCAACAUACCCAGUGUAGUCUCACAAGUCAGAUCUGGAGAAGGUAGAAUGUUUGUACACCUGUAAUACGAUGUGUUCUACAUGUAGUAAAAAAUUCCAUAUUCUUCUUCUUGUAUUUGAGGUACUAGUCGAGUACUUUGCUUUCCCAUUCCCGGCGUAUUAUAGUACUAUUAAUCUUGCAUGUUGCUAUCGGAAACAACUUCUCGCUCUUUCUUCUGAUCUUCUCAGGGUAGGAGUAAGAUCUGUGUACACACAACCCGUGCAAAUCCCAAUUAUUCGAUGUGAUGAUGUAUUAUAGUACUUAUGUACUUUUGGACACACAAAUGUGUUAUGGAGAGAAAUGUACGUUUGAUAUAACUCAAUAGAGAUAUACAAAUGUGUGUAUUUAUGGUCAUAUACGAAUAGACACUAUAUAAGAAAAAUUGAAGUAAGUUAUGAAUUUGUCGUUGCUAAAUGAUACGCGAUCUGUUUCAAAAAGAAUGACAUGUUUUGAUUUGACGUGGAGUUUAAGAAAAUAAAGAAGAUUUUUAUAUUUUGUGGACUUAAAUUAAAGUUACGUCGCAUGUACCAAAAUGUACUUUAAUCUUAUGAUCUUAAACAUGUCACGUGAAAAAUUAGAAUUAAAGUGUUGCCAAGAAUUAAAAGGGUCAUUCUUUCUGAAACGGACUAAAAAGAAAAGUAGAUCAUUUUUUUUAAACGAAGGAGUAUUUAUAUUUGCUUUUGGAGGCAUAAAGAAUGAGCAAACGAACUACUCCCUCUAGUCCAAAAUAAUCAAUGUUUUAGUGUUGGACAAUAAAAUUUUGAGACCAAAAAAUAAAUAAUUCGAGACAAGAAAAUAUUGCAACAAUGAAUUUUAUUAAUUUCAAUGCGAGUGUUACAAUCUCUAUGAAUCCUCUGAUUCGUCUUUUCAAAUAUAAAUUCAAGGGCUUGAAGCUUAAUCUCGAAUUUGAACUUGAUUUGUUGGACUUGAGGGACUUGAUCUUGACUUGUGCUUGAAUUCAAGGGUUUUUGAGCUUGUUCUUGAAUAUUGCGGUCUAGAUCUUGAAUCUUGAUGAACUUGAUUUGAAUGCUUAAGCUUUUUAGAGAAAUUAUGGCGUUUGAUCCACGAACUUUCUCUUGCUACUUGUUAGAAUUCUGGGGUUCUGGGGGCCUUCUUUCUGAAUUAUGAGCCGCUAUUUAUAGUUAGGAAAGGAAGAGCCAUGAUGAAUAUGGACUUCCUUUGACCAAUCAGAUUUAAGUGAGGUGGCGCCUUUUAUGGGCUUUUAUUUCAUGGAUCUGCUGCAUUAGUUUGACAUGUGGUACAGUCCUAUCGGCUCCUUCACUUGACUUGGCAUGCCACGUCAUUUGACACAUGACGCUUAUUUGGGCCUCUAGAAUAUGUCAAUAUCUUGAGCUUAGUAAAGUGGGUUCAUCAUUUGUAGCCCAAAUUAAUGGAUUAACCCAAUAAAUAUUGGGCCUUAUUUAAAUCCAUACUUAUUUAGACUUAAAUAAUUAAUUCAAUUAUAUUAAUCCGCAAUAUUUAUUCAGGACUAAUAUAUUUUGAAUUUAAUAUAAUCCGAAUUUUGUACGGAUUUAAAUUUAAUAAAAUUGCAUCGCCCACAAAUGCUCUCUACUUCAAGACUUGUCGAGACAUUUAUUAUUUUGGAGACUAGCCUUGAAGUAUGAUUAUGUAAGCAUGUUUACUUCAUGCUUCAACGAUCCUCAUACCUAUGAAUACCUUAUUCAAAAAAAAAUUAAAGCCGAACCACAUUGAUAUUGCCUCUCAAAACUCUCUCAUUUUUUUCAUGAAUUUCUACACUUAAGACCCAUUGAUGAGGCAUGAUAUCUAAUUUCAAACAGAUUUUGGAAGACUUUUUCAUCGCCUUACUUAAUCAGGAAUAAAAAUCUUCCGAUUUGAACUUAGAUUGGAGAAGCAAAGAACCUCCAAUUUAAAUUUGUAUGGGAGAAGAAAAUAAUCUCCAAUUUAAAUUUAGAGAUGGAAGUUAUUCCAAUCUGAAUUUAUAUUAGAGAAGAAAACAAUCUCUAAUUUGAAUUUGGAGAUGGAAGCUAUUCCAAUCUGAAUUUAUAUUGGAGAAGGAAACAAUCUCUAAUUUGAAUUUGGAGAUGGAAAUUAUUCCAAUCUGAAUUCAUAUUGGAGAAGGAAACAUCCAUCCUUCAACAACUCUAUAAAAGGAGGUAGUUUCUCCACUUUUUCAAUAUCAAUUUUGGGGUUUCCAAGUCAUCAAUAAUAUUGAGGUAAUUUCUUUUGCUCCCACUUUUCUCUUAUUUUCGUCACUUUUUUUCAGCACAGCAUGUUAGUAGUAGAAAAUUCAUAUCUCAUUGUAGGAAUAUUGAAAUCAUGAUCUGUUUGAUAUUUCAGAAACUAGACUUCAAGAUCUACUACAUAUUCAAAAUUCAGAAUUAAAAUUCUUCAAUAUAAUUCUUGAUAAUUUUUUGAAGUUAGCCCUGAAUUUUAUCAUGUUGAAAAUUUCAGAUCUGCGCAUCUUUACUAAAACUUUCAUAUCUUGAAGUAGGAAGGAUGAAAUUACAAUCCACAGAAUUCUUGUAAAACUAGACACAGACAUCUAUAACAUAUCUAAAAUUCAUAAUUUAAUACAAUCGAGAUAUUUUCAGGUGUUAUCCCGAAAUCAACAUUGAGUUUUGAUGCAUCAACAAUUUCAGAUUUAUGCGACAUUACCAAAAAAAUUAUAUCUCAAUGUGAGAGUACCAAAAUUAUGAUCCGCUUGAUCCUAUAGAUGCCAGAAACAUGCAUGUAUAACAUAUCAAAAAUUUAAAUUUUAACACCUUUUUUAUUGUUCUAGAUGAUUUUUUGAAGUCCAUCUUAUAUGCUGUCCGAUAGAGGAUUUCAGAUUUGCAUUGUCUCACCAAAUAAUUUAUUUCUUGAUGUGGUACCAUCACCACCAAAGGGAGUUUUUAUUGCCUUUAACCAAAUUUUGAGGGUUUUAUUCUCAUCAAGGAAUCUUGUCUCAAUCCAAGUUGGUGAUAUACAACUUUCAAGAUCACAACGCUUUGAUAGGUAACAUCCUUUCUAUUUGUGUUUUUGAUUUCUUUCUUGUUUCCACUCUUUUUUAUUUGUUUUGUUUUUGGAGAAUUGAAACAGCGACCAAUUUUACUUGAAGACGAUGGACGUCAGCUUAAGGUGCGAGAGUUUAACUUCGCCUCCGUCACCUUAAGUCUGACCAAUUCUACUUGAAGACGGUGCAGUGAUUUUCUGUAAGUAUGGGCCCUUUUCAAUGUUCAGCUUAGGGUGCAAAGGGACAAAUCUUGUCCACCUUAAGGCAUGAAAAUUUCGAUAUCCUUUUAAGGAUAAACCCGUUAAAGGCCAGCUUAAGGUGCAAAGGGACAAUUUUUGUCCACCUUAAGACAUAAAAAUUUUGAGAUCCUUUUAAGGAUAAACCCGUUAGAGGCCAGCUUAAGGUGCUAAGGGAUAAUUUUUGUCCACCUUAAGGCAUGGAAGUUUUGAUAUUCUUUUAAGGAUAAACCCGUUAAAGGCCAGCUUAAGGUGCAAAGGGACAAUUUUUGUCCACCUUAAGACAUAAAAAUUUUGAGAUCCUUUUAAGGAUAAAUCCGUUAGAGGCCAACUUAAGGUGUAAAGGGACAACUUUUGUCCACCUUAAGGCAUGAAAAUUUCGAUAUCCUUUUAAGGAUAAACCCAUUAGAGACCAUCUUAAGGUGCAAAGGGACAACUUUUGUCCACCUUAAUCCAUGGAAACUUCAGUUACCUUUUAGUUAUAGGCUUGGAGAACUUUAGCAUUUCAAAUUCCAUUAAAGAAACUCUUUUUUUUUUUUCGACGGGUUGCCCCCAUUGAGUCACAAAAAUUUGGAGUAAGUCCAAAAUUAAAAUAGUUUCAUACUUGGCGUCCAUAUGACAGACACUGUAGGAACAUCUUUUUUUGACACUCAUGCAACUGAACUCUUAAUGAGAUUCCAAGCACCUAUGUACCUCAAUGAAGAGGAUCAAGUCACAACGUAGUUCUGGGUGAGUGUUUUUUUUGUGUGUGUGUCCUAACUUUUCCCUAGGCCGCCUCUUUCGAGGUUUUCAACCUAGCGGACUUUUAUUUUUUUUUUUAGCCGUACACAGUUUAUACUCUUACGGGCCAGGAGUGGACAUGCAGUUUAUACUCGUGUAUUAAGGAGUGCACAUACAGUUUAUACUCAUGCCUUAAGGAGUGUACAUGCAUUUUAUACUCGUGCCUUAAGGAGUGUACAUGCAGUUUAUACUCAUGCCUUAAGGAGUGUACAUGCAUUUUAUACUCGUGCCUUAAGGAGUGUCAUCUCCCUUCAAGGAUAGUACUUCUUCAAGAACUUGGCAUUGAUGGGGUCAAUCCUCACGCCAUCUGCAUCAACAAGCUUGUAAGAACCAUUUGAAUAUGCCUCUUAUACGACAUAUGGUCCAUCCCACUUCAAGCUGAAUUUGCCCCCAGAUUUAUGAGAAGUGAUAAUGGGCCUUCUUACUGCAAGAACUUGAUCUCCAACUUGGAAGCACCUCAAGCGAACCUUUUUGUUGAAAGAACGAGAUAGCUGGGAUUGAUAGCAUUCAAGAUUUUGUUGAGCCUCCAGCCUCUUCUCAUUAAGAACUUCUAACUCUGAAAGAUGCAACUUAGAAUUUUCUUCAUCGGUGAGCCCUUCUUGAAUAGCCAGUCUCAAAGAAGGUAUUUGAUGCUCAAGUGGUAGGACUGCUUCAACUCCAAAAGCAAGUGAGUAUGGGGUUGCUUGUGUUGGUGUACGGUAAGUUGUCCUAUACGCCCAUAAAACAUCUUUCAUUUGCUCAUGCUAGUCUCGUUUGGAUUUGGAGAUGAAUUUCUUCAACAAGUUGCAUAAAGUCUUAUUGAAGGCUUCAGCUAGACCAUUGGUGGCAGCAUGAUACAUUGAAGACUUAAGUUGCUUGAAGCCAAAGAGGUCACAAAUCUUGUUCAUCAACUUGUUAUCAAAUGGCUUGACAUUGUCAGUUAUUAUAUAUUGAGGGUUUCCAAAGUGGUAAAUGAUAUUCACUCGGAUGAAGUUCGCAACAUUUUCUUUCUUUACUUCCUUGAGAGCAACAGCUUCGGCCCAUUUUGAGAAGUAAUCUAUCUCAGCCAAGAUGUAUAAAUGUCCACCAGAAGACUUUGGUAGUGGACCAACAACAUCCAUUCCCCAAGCAUUGAAUGGCCAAGAUGCAGUUGGAUGUAGCACCUCUGGAGGUUGAUGUAUAAAAUUUGCAUGGAAUUGGAAAGUUUUGCAUCUUAUCGCGUAGUCCAAGCAAUCUUUCACCAUCGUUGGCCAAUAAUAUCCCAUCUUUUUAAUGUGAAAAUGGAGCUUCGGUCCAGACUGAUGUGAUCCACAAACUCCCGAGUGCGCUUCUUGCAAAGCUUAAAUUGCUUCUUCCUCUCCCAAAUAUCGUAAGAGUACUCCUUCAAAUGAUCUUCUGUACAGUGUGUCUUUGUAGUAAAAGAAGCGAGGUACACGACGACGAAUGUCAGUCUUUCUCCUUGGAUCUUCUGAAAGUAUCCCAUAACAUAAGUAAUCAAUAAUAUGUUGUCGCCAAUCUUCUUUUACAGCUUCAGACAUGGCAACGAGGCAUUCAACCUUGUUUCCACAUCCUCAUCUGACAGCGGUACUACCCAUUCUUGGCGGACAGUAACUUGGGUCUGAUUUGGAAGAGUUAGGGUUGAGGCUAGAGCAGCUAGGGCAUCAGCUUGCUUAUUUUUUCUCCUUGGCACAUGUUGAAGGGUUACUCCUCCAAGCCACCCCAUCAACUUCUGUAUAUAAUCAUGGCAUGGUCGCAGCUCAGACUUUCUGACUUCAUAGCUUCCCAAAAGCUGUUUGAUCACCAAUUGGGAGUCACCAAAGACUUGUAAUUACAGUUGCUUCAUGUCCACUACCAUCUCGAGUCCAAGUAUUAAAGCUUGAUAUUCAGCAACAUUAUUAAAGCAACGAUUUAUUAGGGUAAAAGAGUAUGGGAUGACCUCUUCUAGUGGAGUGAUGAAUACUACCCCAGCACCAGCUCCAUCUCGAUGUGCGGCACCAUCAAAGCACAUCUUUCAUGGGGGUCUAGCUUCAAUGACCAUUACAUAUUCAUCAGGAAGUUCAUCGCUCAGUUCCUAAUCAUCAGGUAUCGAGCGGUCUGCUAAGAAGUCAGCCAAUGCUUGUCCCUUUAUGGCCUUUUGUGGAACAUACACAAUCUCAAACUAUUGAAAUUGAAGGUACUAUCUUGCAAGUCGGUCACUAAGGACAGGUUUCGAUAUUACAAACUUGAUGGGAUUUGCCCUAGACACGAAAUGAACCACAUAAGCUUGAAAGUAGUGUUUCAUCUUUUGAAUUAAGAAGGCCAAUGCCAACCAUAACUUUUCAAUUGGAGAAUACUUUAGCUCCUUUGGUGUCAUCAUUCUGCUCAGAUAGUAAAGAGAGUGUUUUUUUCCUUUACUAUUUUCUUGAGCCAGUAGUGCUCCAACCGACCUUUCUUGUGCCGCGACAUAGAGUAUCAACGGCUUCCCAAGUAUGGGUGCCGCAAGAACUGUUGAUUUUAUUAAGUACGAUUUGAUACUCUCAAAGACAUUACUACAAGUUUGGUCUCAUUUGAAGGGAGUGUCCUUCUUCAUAAGACGACUAAAUGAUUGACAUUUUCCAGCCAGGUUUGAGAUGAACCUCCUUAAAUAUGCUAGCCUUCCUUGAAGGCUUUUUAACUCAUGAAUAUCCCGAGGAUCGGGCAUCUUCAAAAUUGCAUCAAUUUUAGCUUGAUCAAUUUCAAUUCCUCGGUGUCGCACAAUGAAGCCAAGAAAUUUUCCUGAAGUAACUCCAAAGGCAUACUUCAAUGGAUUCAUCCUAUGUUGAUAUCUUUGAAGUAACUCGAAUACCAUUUUUAGGUCUUUUAAGUGGUCGUCUCUCUUUCUUGACUUCACCACUAGAUCAUCCACAUAGCAUUCAACAUCUUUAUGGAGCAGGCCGUCAAAGAUGUUCUGCAUAGCCCUUUGAUAAGUGGAGCCAGCGUUCUUCAAAUCAAAAGGUAUCAUCUUGUAGCAAUAAAUACCUUUAGGCGUACGAAAUGCAGUGAGUUCUUCAUCCUUUGGCGCCAUACGAUUUGAUUGUAGCCGGAUGAACCAUCCAAGAAGGACAUUGCCUCAUAACCAAUGGUGGCAUCAAUCAUUAACUCCGGUAUGGGGAUUGGAAAAUCAUCCUUAGGGCAUGCAUUGUUGAGAUCUCGAAAGUCAACACAAACUCGAAUUUGGCCAUUCUUUUUCCGUACUGGAACAAUACUUGAAAUCCACGUGGGAUAUUUGACUUCACGAAUAAAGCCAGCUUCAAUAAGUUUGUUAACUUCAUUUUCGAUCAGUGGAACCAACUCCGACCUAAAGCGUCUUUGGGCUUGCUUAAUAGGACGAGCACCAUUCUUGACUGCCAACUGAUGGACCGCUACUUUUGGAUCUAAGCCAGGCAUUUCCUUAUAGCUCUAGGAGAAGACAUCCAUAUAUUCUUUGAGUAUGUCCAUAUAAGCGAUUUCUUCCCCUACUUCUAGAAACUCACUCAGGUAAGUUGGUCUUGGUUCUUCAUCGGUUCCAAGAUUAACUUCCUUUAAGGGAUCUAUUGUGGCCUUUACUCCUUCUUCAAGUUGUGAUAGAGUAUCUCCCGCAUCUUCCUCCUCUUGAGGAUCAUCGUCAUUGACAGAUAUAUGACAACACCAAAAGACAUUUUCUAUUUCUUCAUCAACCUUUAUUUGAGACGAGAUGUCUUUCUCGUUCUGAGUUGUAACAUGAUAUGAGGAGCCAACACUCUCUCCAUCUUCUUCGUGUUUCUUGGUAUAAACCACAGUAUGCGCCUUCGCUUUUAACACCUCGUUGCAUGAAACUACCAAUUCCGUCUGUCGCUUCAUUCUAGAAGGAAUCAAACUUUAGAAAUCCUUCUAGAUUUUAAAUGAAGAGUGAUGCAUCUUUCGUUAACGACUUCUUUGACUCUUGUUGUUUUUCUUCUUAUUUAUAGCACCCAGCCUUUCGAACACAGAAGUUCUUGCGGUUGAUUCUCCAAGUCGAUCAAAUACGGAGGAUCUUUUAUUAGCGGCAGUGGAUUCUUCUUCCACGUUGAUGUAAUUACUGACUGCCUUUCUUAUGGAGAUGUGAAUUGAAGGUGGCUGUGCGUAUCCUAGCCCUUCACGUGCUUGCCUGGUAUUACCCUCCGAUGGAAGUUUGCCCAACCUUAAUGGCUCAUUAGGAUUAUAUCCAGCCUUUACAAAUAGCUUGUAUGCAUUUGGAUCAAAUCCCUCUUUUGUACGCUUCGGAGGAAGUGCCAUAUCUGGUGGCGGAUUUUGAGCCACAGAUUCCCCAAGUAGCCUUGAGGAUGGAUUUAUUGCAUCAAUCUUCCUGAUAGGUAAAGUUAGCCCCUUUAGCACAUUAUCUUGGGCAUCAGGUGAGUGAUCUUCCUCUUUCUUUACCUUUGGCACGUAGCGAAGAACAGGAGUUGCCUUCUUUUUCGUAAGAGUGAUGCUUUCUUUAUUCGAAGUGAAGAAGGGCUUCCUGUUGGCGAAUUUUUUGAUAGUCUCUGCGACCUUCUUAGAUAGAAGAUCAUCACACUUGGUCUUGGUGACAUCUUCAAUCCUUUUCUUAUCUACAAUAUGAUUCUUUAAGUAGAAUUUUGCAUCAGCAAAAUGUGACUCAGCUUCAGUGAAUGGCUUGUCAUCGGCGACUAUCGCUCUUUCCACUCUGUUUUUGAGGUACUUCAAGCAUUGAUAGUAAGAGGACGAGAUAAUUUUGUUCCCGUGCACCCAAGGUCUACCAAGCAAUACACUGUAUGAAGUUUUGGCAUCGAUCACAUACAUCAAUGGCUUUGAUUAAAAAUCAUCCACACUAAUCUCCAACUUGAUACAUCCCAUGGCCCUAUGGCCCCCUUGGUUGAAGCCUUGGAUUAUUAUACAACUUUCGUCCAGUUCGCUAGUAGCGAUGCCAAGUUCCUUCAUCGUACGGAUAGGUAGGAUAUUGACUCUAGAUCCUUCAUCUAUCAAGAUUUUAUUGAUCUUCUUUCCUAGAAUUUAACCCACCAUGUAUAAGGGACGAUUAUGUAGGGUCUCACCAAGCAAAAGAUCAUUAUUUGUGAAUGUAAUUUUGGUAUCACACAUAUGUGCCUCUUCGCUAAGAGUUUCAUCCAACCUUUCGGAAACUGAAGGAACUUCCAUAGGUAGAUUUUCACCCUUUGCCCCCUCUUUGGAGGUAUUAAAACAAGACGCCUCAAGGUUGACUUGGGCAGUCUUUACACGAAUCCAACUCGGCAAGAAUUCCUCUAAAGUCACCGGAAGCCGAAGUUUUGGGGGUGAAACUCCGUCACCCUCGUCUUCUUUGGGAGUUCAACUAACUUCUGUUUCCUUAGUUUCUUUACCACUCUCCUUUCGGUUAGUUGUUCGUACGUAUCCUUUCGCAGACUCAUCUUCUUGUGUCUGCGUCUAGUCACUAGAGUCCAACCUUCAUCAUUUUCUUUGUCAACCGAAGAACUGUCAGGAUCUAAUAUCUCCUCAUUAUGCUCUUUGACACAAAUUUUAACCGGGUCGAGCGAGCCAAAAGUGAUAGAAAUUUGAUGAAAACUGGUUGUCUCAUCGUCGAAGAAGAUUUUCUUCUCUUUUGCCAGUUGCAUAACUCUAUCUUUAAAGACAGUAUUUCUCUAGAGGAUGACUUAUGAGCCUGUGAUAUUUACAAUAAUUAGUUCCGACUUCGUUGGGACGCUUCAUCUCUGGGAUUUUGAUGAGCUUAUGCUGAAGGAGUUAAUCGAAAAUCUCAGCAAAAUCAGAAUCAAGGAAGGGAUAUUCCUUUUCUUGCAUCUCCUUUAACGUUUUCUGAUUUGGAUGUGCUCCAGAAGUCAUCUUUACACUUUGCUUCUUGCUCACCUUUAUGGUGACUUUCACCGGAGACACAUCAACAUUCAUGGAUUCUUUGUUAUCAUUUUUUUGGGACAAACUUACCCCAUCUCUUGGGUUCUUACUUUUCCUUUCCCCUUCGAGGGUCAUGGAUAAGCUCUCCUUCCUUUCCAAUAGAAAACAUGCUCAAUUCCACAUCGUGAGCACGAGUAGCUAACUCUUCAUAGGAUUUUGGCUUAAUGCCUUCCAAGAUAUAGAGAAGCCCUCAGUACAUUUCUUGGAUGCACAUCUCUAUCGCAGAAGCUUCACUGAGCUUAUCUUUACAGUUUAGGCUAGCAUUUCUCCAUCGAUUGAUGAAGUCAAUGACUGGUUCGUCCUUUCUUUGCCGAGUAUUUGUGACCUCUACCAUGCUCAUUGUACUCCUUGUGCUAUAAAAUCGAUUCAAGAACUCAUGUUCCAAUUGCUCCCAACUAUCGAUGGAAUUAGGCUCAAGGUCCGUAUACCAAUCAAAGGCAUUUCCCUUUAGGAAACGAACAAACUGUUUGACAAGAUAGUCACUGUAAGUUCCAGCAUUAUUACAUGUCUCGACAAAGUGUGCGACAUGUUGUUUCGGAUUACCUUUGCCCUCAAAUUGUUGAAAUUUGGGGGGUUAAUAGCCGGCAGGCAUUUUGAGGCUAUCUAUUCUUGCAGUGUAAGGCUUGGCAUAUGCAAGGGAAGACUUGGUGACAAUAUCAUACUUGUCUUUGAGGAUCCCUUUAAUAAAUUCCCUCAAUUGCCCAAUCGGGAUCAUUCCCUCAGCAGAAACUUGCACCUCUUUAGUCGAUGGCGUUUGUUUCACAGGAUUUUCUAUCUCAUGAACCUCUGGAGCUUUUCCCUGCGCAUGGCUAGAUUCUCCGUCUAUCAAGUCUUCCACCAUAUCCACUAUCUUAUCAAUUUUAGCCUCUUGAUUCUGAACAUAGUUAGUCAGGCCUUCAAUUGCCUUUGUCAAAUUCGCAAGCUGCUCCUCCAUAGACGAGGCAUCAUUUACCAUUACUUGCAUGAUCACCGAAGAUGUUGGAGAGUAACACGGAUUAUCACAUAAGUUGAUUUUUGAAGUGCUUAGCUUAUGUGGAGUAAGUGGAGAUGAUGCAUUUGUUGAACGACCAUCGCUCUUGGCUCUAGAGUAUUUGGAACCAAAAUGCUCAAGUAGAGCUAAAGUCCUUUUCAGCGAUUCGGCCACACUGCUUCCUCCUUCUGAAGCACUUGCAUUGGAUUUCGUUCCUUUCGAGGUAGAAGAUCCAAAAACUGAAGCUGGAGCGGAUGACACUGGAUGUGUUUAUUGUCCUAGCAAGCCUGCCUUGCUUCUUGUGACAGCUCCCAGGCUUCCGAAAGUAACACCAAGGAUGCUUUCUACUUCAGCAGAGAACUUUGAUUCUACAGCCUUGGAAGCAGUUGAUUGAGAAUUGACCUUCUUGGAAGUCAUUUCGUUGUUCUUAAACUUCGAAGUAUGAAAAGUUGAGAUGAGAGGUAGAGAUCGUCCCACUGAGCGUGCCAGUUUGUUUACAACAUAAUUUAAAUUCAUGGAAAAUAAAUUUUAACCACAAACAAAAAUAUGAAGAAACAAGAAUUUUUUUAUUGAUAAACGAUUGUGGUUACAAAUCUGUUCCUCCCUUGAUUCUUCUCUCUUAAUUUCUCUCCGUAAUUUGAGGGUCGUCAGUGGCUUAUUCUCGAACAUAGGAUGAUUUUGUAAUUCGAGGGCUGUCAGUAGCUUAUUCUCGAACAUAGGAUGAUCUCUUUAUGAAUAUCUCAUGAUUUUGUGGGAUAUUGGAGAUCCUGAUCUUUUUACGAAUACCCAUCAUCUGAAUUUUUCUCCGUAAUUUGAGGGUUGUCAGUGGCUUAUUCUCGAACAUAGGAUGAUUUCGUAAUUCGAGGGCCGUUAGUAGCUUAUUCUUGAACAUAGGAUGAUCUAUUUAUGAAUAUCCCAUGAUUUUAUGGGAUAUUAAAGAUCCCGAUCUUUUUACGAAUACCCAUCAGCUUAUGGGAUAUUCAAGAUGGUUGAUCUUUUUACGAAUACCCAUGAGUUUAUGGGAUAUUCAAGAUGGUUGAUCUUUUUACGAAUACCCAUGAGUUUAUGAGAUAUUCAAGAUGUCUGUUUCAGGGAAUAUAUUACCCUUUAAAUAGGCGGGAUUUAAGGUAAAGUAGCCUCCUAGAACGCUAACAGAAUUUGAAUUCUUCUUGAAGAGUUCACAAAUUUUAGAUAUCUACAAAUGCCCCUACUUCAAGGCUUGUCGAAGUGUAGAUUUGAUGACGAGUCUUGAAGUACCAAUAGAGCUUCAAUCUUUAUGCGGUGGCUACAAAUUUGCAAAUCUGGAGAAAAGAUGUAGGGCAGAUUUGGUCCCACUGGGCGUACUAGAAUUUGUUGGACAAUGAGACCGAAAAAUAAAUAAUUUGAGACAAGAAAAUACUGCAACAAUGAAUUUUAUUAAUUUCAAUGCGAGUGUUACAAUCUCUAUGAAUGCUCUGAUUCUCCUUUUCAAAUAUAAAUUUAAGGGCUUGAAUCUUAAUCUUGAAUUUGAACUUGAUUUGUUGGACUUGAGGGACUUGAUCUUGACUUGUGCUUGAAUUUAAGGGCUUUUGAGCUUGUUCUUGAAUAUUGCGGUCUAGAUCUUGAAUCUUAAUAAACUUGAUUUGAAUGCUUGAGCUUUCUAGAGAAAUUAUGGUGUUUGAUCCACGAACUUUCUCUUGCUGCUUCUUAGAAUUCUGGGGGUCUGGGGGCCUUCUUUCUAAAUUAUGAGCCCCUAUUUAUAGUUAGGAAAGGAAGAGCCAUGAUGAAUAUGGACUUCCUUUGACCAAUCAAAUUUAAGUGAUGUGGCGCCUUUUAUGGGGUUUUAUUUCAUGGGCCUGCUGCAUCAGUUUGACAUGUGGCACGGUCCUAUCGGCUCCUUCACUUGACUUGGCAUGCCACGUCCUUUGACACCUAGAGCUUAUUUUGGCCUCUAGAAUAUGACAAUAUCUUGGGCUUAUUAAAGUGAGUUCAUCAUUUGUAGCCCAAAUUAAUGGACUAACCCAAUAAAUAUUGGGCCUUAUUUAAAUCCAUACUUAUUUGGACUUAAAUAAUUAAUUUAAUUAUAUUAAUCCACAAUAUUUAUUUGGGACUAAUAUAUUUUGAAUUUAAUAUAAUCCGAAUUUUGUACGGAUUUAAAUUUAAUAAAAUUGCAUCGCCCACACUUAGUGUUUAAACGUUCAUCCUCUAAGAAUUUUAGUGCGCGAAAAUUCAAAUCGCAUUAAAGCGCAACUUUUGAUUAAAAAUAUACAAAAACAACAACAUACCCAGUAAAAUCCCAUAAAUAAGAUAUGAGAAGGGUAAAAUUGACACCAACGAAUAAAAUCUCCUUGUGCUUCAGGACCCAAUAGUAACAACAACGAACGUGCUAAACUAUUAGUAGGAGUAGAAACUGCGGCAGUUAAAAAAUUGCAGCCUUCCAAAUAAGAACUGGCCAAUCCAUGGCUAUACCAUGAAGUUACAAAGGUGUGCCUAUGAACCAACCCCUACAGCGAAAUAGGCACAAGGAAAGAGCAAUAGACCAGACCAGCCUACAAAAACGAAAACGGUCCCUCCGUAACCAGUCAUCCAUAAUAUCAAAUAAAUCACUUUCGUCUUUGAUAAACUUACCAAUGGUCACUACCUCGAGAAGAUAGAGAGACUAUUUUUAAAAGCCCCCCGGCUCAAGUGCAGCAGCCUAAUUAAAAAAAAAAAAUUGAAAUUCCAAACUAUAUUCUUACAUGCCUUAAUCUACCGUUAAUUCCUCCUUUCAUCAACGGCCAAUCUCCACAAUCCACAAAAACCACAUCCACCCAAUAAAAAAUCUCCACGUGUACAAAUCCUCCAGCUCUCAAAUCCAACAAAUCUCAGCCGUCCAGUGAUCCUGAUCUAUUGAAAAUUACAAAAAUUAGGGGUGGCAUGGUAUGAUAUAUACCGAAUUACCAUACCGAACCGAAAUUUUUGAUACAGUGGUUUUGGGUAUUAUGGUAUUUGGUAUGGUAUAUGGUAUAUAUUUUAAAUUUUUUUAGUAUAUGGUAUGAUAUACGGUAUUUACAAAUGACAUACCGAAAUACCGAAUAUCAUACUGAAGUAUAUAUAGUUACAUAAGUAACUUAUAUAUAUAUAUAUAUACACACACGGAAAAAAAAAAUACUUAGUAUUAGUAUAAAAAUGUUUAGAUUUUAAAACUUACGCUACUCUAUCUUUGAUUGAAAUGUUUUUUUGGUGUAACUGGCUAAUAAAAGGAAUUGUUUGUACUUCAUUUUUAAUAUUUCUACAUGUGUAAUGUAUUUUUAUGAUGCAAUUAAGACGUGCUUUUGAAAAGUCGAAGUAAUAAUACUCUAGUAUACGUGUAUAUAUUGUCAAAGUUAAACAAACUAUGGUUAACGAUUAUCAUACCGCAAAAUACCAAAACCAAACGUCAAAAUACCGAACCAUACCGAAUUAAUAUGGUAUGAUAAUGGUAUAAUGUUUUUAAAAACCGAAACAAAAUUUUCUAGCAUGCAACUUUACAAAUAUACAUUGUAUAUGAAUAAUACACUCUGCAGUAUACAAUUUUUAUACAACUAGAGUUCUAAAUUUCCCUAGACUUCUAGUCAAUUUCAGCAUGUACAUAAUCAACAAAGAUGAAAUUCUUCUGCAGUUCAUGGAGAAUGUAUGCCAAUCCAGCGCUUAUAAUCGCUAACGAGCCCAAGAUAAUGCGUAGGUUAACGUCAGAAGGAAUGCCAGCGGUUGCACAGCACACGAGUACUGUGCCGAUUAGAAACUUUUGCAACCUCUCGAAUGUGUAGUAAGCAUUUCUGCAAGACGAACACUUGAGUGUAUGUUGCUCGAAUCUGUCCAUCAUCUGUAAAUUUACAUAUUUUCGAUCAACAAUAACAACAUACCUAGUAUAUUCCCACCAAGUGGGGUCUGGGGAGUGGAAGUGUACUCAGUCCAUACCACUGCCUCAAAUGUGAGAUAGAGAGGCUGUUUCCGAUAGACCCCACAUAUUUUCGAUCAAGCAUAUAGUAAAUCAAAUUGUUUUGGAUUAAGGCGUAGUAGUUGUUGUAUGCUUUUGGUAACAUGAAAAUUUAGUCGCGAUGGAUUGAAGAAAGAGUAGCGGGAUCGGAGUCCAAGAGUAGUACCUGGCGUUUGGACAAGACGGUAGAAGGCAGUGGUUGGUUGUCUGUGCUGCCGAACCAUUCAGGUUGACUAUUGCCAUGCCGUCUAAGCCAAUUUCGGAAAGCCAAGACGAAACGAUCAGCUUGAGUGGGUGUAAAUGUGAGUUUUGUAUAAUCCUUGUUGACAUCAGUACCAUUCUCUUUCGACUUUGAAAGAAAAAUCUUUUCUUGACCUUGAAGAACAAUCAUAUCACCAUCAUACACCUUAUUCGAAGUCCAGUGUUCUUGCCAUCUCGGAAAAACCUAUUGUCCGAACAUCAUGAAAAUUCCACGUCAUCAUUAUAUAAUCGUUAGCCUUCCGACACCCAACUGAACAAAAUCAACGUUAAUGCUACGACAACAAAUCAACUUUGAAGUCCGAAAAGAGACAAGCAGGAAAGAGUAUCUUAUAUGAUAGAUUUUGCACCAUGAAUAUGAGCUUCCAACUAAUGCAUUUGCGGUUUCUUCUAGACGAAGUAUCAGGCAACCAAGUUACGUUGAAAGAGAGAAGGAUUGCUAACACACACACUUUCCACUAUUUUUAACUUCACCGAGUCCCUCAUUUGUGUGCAUAGUUUGCAAAUCACAUGAGAGAAGACACUUGAUUUGAACUAGUCUCUACAAAAGUUGAUUUUCCCAAAUUGUGAGAUAAGAAAUGCACGGACCAAGUAAUAAUAUUUUUCUACGUUAUGCUGAUCUAUCGACAAAAUGAGAGAAAAGAUGGAGCUAUAUACCACCAAUAUGCUUUGGUUUUUUGGAUUUUGUAAGUAACAUUAAAUGUUUCACCACCUCAACCUCAUGUUCCCAAGAUUGAACUUGUUUACGGACAUGAAUGAACAACUUUCUUUUGUUUCCAAGGACCUCUUCCCAUUGUGUAAAGUUAUAUAAGAAAAUAUUGUACACCAUACGGCAAAAGCUAAUCUCUAGAUGAACAAAAAUACUUGUAGUAUUUAAUUGCAAACUCCAUUUUGUUUCCAGAAGGUGUGUAAUACAAGCGUAGAGGAGAUUGGCUGCGGAUCAGACACCACGAUUUUGAAUUAUUACCCUCUUUUCUGAAGCCGGCAAUCAGAUUUUGAUAAACAAUUGACAGAUAAAAUGUCGCUGAAGCACAUAAGCUGAGUCACUAGGAAGUAGGAAAGAUAGCACAUAGAAGAGCCGAAUUUCCACAGAUAAUUGUAAAAUGGGUGCAUUAUUACCUGCCACCAAGCAGGCCCGGGCACUGCAAACUGGAAGAAGUUUCGAGCACUGCAAACAAUUGAUCGGGUCUUUCCUGGUGCCAUUGGUACAUUGAAGGAACAAAUCCAUAUCACCCACUUCUGAUCUCCCACGAUUGGAAGCUUCGUGUCGAUCUCUAUUCUGUACAAAUUUCCAAUGAGACCUUAGUCAUACAGGUUGUCAAAUAGUUGCAGAAUGAAUGCAGCUAACAUUUACAUAGAACAGAUAAAUCAUGCAUGCACACCAAACAAGAAGGACAUGGCAAACUGCCAUUUAUCAAUGCCUGCAAAGCCUCGGACAAACGGGACCGUGCACCAGGUUUUGAAAGCUUUCAACCCAUGAUUUCUAUAUAAAAAUCUUUACACUAAAUGAUCAAAACAAUUACUAGCAUUUAUUAACCUUACAGAACCCAAGUGUUAAACGGGAUAUAAUGCCCACGGACAUAAAUACAUAAUGCUACUGAUCAACAACACCCAACUUGUUGGCAGAUAAUGGACUUCGUAAUCACUAAUAAUUGAUACAUUGCUUGCCUUGAUAGUCAAGAAAGAUGAUCUAUUUUAGGAUGAUGAACUUACUUAUUCAUGGAGUAACAAGGUGCGACAAAUUUUGCACUAAUUUUUGGUUUAUCAUUGUUUGCACCGGCAAAACCCCAGGGUCCAGAGGCCUCCAUCUUGAAUGGCAAGGGCUUGGCUCUAUCACGCCUUCCAGUAACCUGUAAAAUAUAAAUGAGUAUGCUAAAAGAAUUUCAUUGUUGGACACUGAGCAAGCUGCAGCAGUGGGGUAUGUAACAACCCCUAUGAUAAUAAAGGUUGACAACUUUAUUAGUAGUGUAUAUAACUGUUUAUUCCCAACGAGAUGCAUACGUAUAGAAGAGCUGAUUCUUGCCUUCUUGACUUCUGUCUCAAACCCACCACCAUCCUCUGAUUAAUCUUUUUUUUUUUUUUUUUUUUGAAACUGGUAAAUAUUGUAUUCCUCAGCAUUACGGGUAUGCUGGCGACCUCCAAAAAGUGUCCAUUACAGGCAUCCUCUGAUUGAUCUGUUUCCAUUUCUGAUUGGCUACGGUAACUGACAAGCCUUACCACUCCCUGAACUCUGCCUCUCUGCUAAGUUUUGCAUGAUCAAUAUCCUAUCCAGGUUUUCAGACGUCACUUGUUUAUUCCUUCUUGUUAUCUAGUUGUUUAGUACCAACUACCAAGUGCCCAACUAAAUAGACUACAUUCUAUUUUUAGUACAAAUUUACUUAAGCCCUUCAUUUUGAAUGGGAAGGUGUCUUAUCUAAAAGUUCAAUCACCUACAGACAUCAUCUCAACGAUCACAUAUCACUUCAUCAAAAGAUUAACUCACUUUUGUAUAUUUCACCUAUUAGUUUAAAUGAAUCUCUUAGAGACUCCAACUGGUAAUUGAUUGAUAUUUUCUUUUUAGGACCUUGCUAAUCUAAGCUGUGACGACUCUUCACUUUUGAUGUUGCACCCGUGUCGGAUUCUCCAAAAAUGCACUAGUUUUAGAGAAUCCCAACGUACCCACCGACAUUUUUGAACAGUCCGAGCAACAUAGCGGCUAAUAACUCGGGUCAACUAUAGUGAUAUGGAAGGAGUCUCCAUAGCAUAGUUAGGAAGUGGCCAUAUAAAAUAGUGGGACAAACAAGUUUAUACAGUUAAGAGCAUCAGUUUGCUGAUUAUUGAGCUUAAUCUUUGAUCGUUCGUUGAAGGUCCCAGUCAAGGCUAGUAACCAGUUUGCACUCAGUCCUUAUCGCAAACUAGUGGAACUCAUUUCAGUUUGAGCUUUCUUACUAGUUUGAACAACAUAUCAUGCUGGUCUAAUACUAACGCUGAACUCAGAUCUACCCUGCAACGAGUAGAGCAAAACUUGAUCUAUGCUUGAAAAUUAGUCAAGCUGAGUUUGAGACACUAAAUUAGAAGUCACAGGGGAACAAAUGUUGCAUACUUACCUUGUGAUGCGCAAAAUCAAUGUGAGAAGGAUCAGAGACGUUCUCCAUGAGAGUGUCAUAGCCAUAAAACAAAUCACGCUGAAUUGUCACUGUUGCAAACUCUGGCUUAUCAAAAUCUUCAGGCAACCUAGAAAUAUCCCAUUAAACAACUAAUCGAAAUUAUUUUAAUUCCACUAAGAGUAUAGGCAAGGUUACCGAUUAUAAUAUAAACCAAAUCAGCCUCAUUAUCUCGAUCAAUGAGUUAAUAACUUUUUUUUCGUGAAGGGGAAAGAAAUGGGAUUAACCACACAUGAAGGACAGAGGGCCUCAACCCACUGAGAUACCCUCUCAGCUCACCAAAUCAGCCUUGUCAUUGAACAACAGCUUAAUAAAAUACAAACAACGUAUUAAACAAGUCACUAUAGUAAAGAUAACCGAUUUGUAUAAUAUAAACUAAGUACAUAACUGAUUAGUAUAAUACAAACUAAGUCCCUAUAGUAAAGACAACCAAUUAGUAUAUAAUAUAAACUAAGUCACCAUAGUUACAGAUAACCAAGUAGUAUAAUAUAAACAACGUCACUGUAGUAAAAGAUAACCGAUUAUUACAAUAUAAACUAAGCCCCUACAGUAAAGAUAACCAAUUAGUAUAAUAUAAACUAGGUCACUAUAAUUACAGAGAAGUGACUAGUAUAAUAUAAACUAAGUUACUUCAGUAAAAGAUAACCGAUUAGUAUAAUAUAAACCAAGUCCCUAUAGUAAAGAUAACCAAUUAGUCUAAUAUAAACUAAGUCAGUAUAGUUACAGAUAACUGAUUAGUUUAAUAUAAACUAAGUCACUAUAGUAAAGCAACCAAUUAUUAUAAAUAUAAACUAAGUCACACUAUAGUAAAGAUAACCGAUUAGUAUAAUAUAAACUAAGUCACUAUAGUAAAAGAUUGGCUAUUAGGAUAAUAUAAACUAAGUCACUAUAAUAAAGACAACCAAUUAGCAUAAUAUAAUAUAAACUAACUUCACAUGAUUACUAAACAACGUAGUAGUUUAAUAAACUAAUCAAGAAUCAACGGAAACUUACAUAGGGGGCUUUGUUGCCUGAGCUCUCUCCCAACCAUUCUCGUCAGGCCAAACAAAGAGUAGUCCUUGUGAAACCAUAGUAGGAAAUCUAGUAGCAGUGGCCCUCGGAGACUGAAACGCUUUAGCUUCAGGUCCUUCAGAUGCAGCUUGAGGAAUCCUUGUACAAGAUCCGCAACCGUUAAAUGACCAUCCAUGAUAUGAACACUGCAAAUGCCCAUUUUCAUCUAAUCUCCCUUCCUACAAACAAAAACGAAAAAAUACCCAUACAUCAAAACCAUCAUUUUUUUUUUCCAAUUUUUAAGGAGUGAAGUAUCUUUAUUUUUCAAGUUUCGUAUCUGAACUAUGUGUGCGAGUUUCCUAACUAAACUAUCACCAAUUAUUUAUCGAAACCUAAGCGGCGCAGACUCUUCACUUUCAAUGUCGCACCCGUGUCGGAUUCUUCAAAAUACACUAGUUUUGGCGAAUCUGACAUGCACCCAUUGACAUUUUUGACGAGUACGAGCAACAUACAUCGAAACACACCCAAUUAUCAAUUAUUCACUUUCCUACCUAAAAUAUCAGCAUCCUUCAAGAAGGAAAAGUGAACAAUCUAGCUGAACUAUCACCAAUAAUUUAUCAAAACGCACCCUUAACUCUCAACUAUUCAGUUUUCCUACCUGAUAUAUAUUAUUGUUGUCCAUGUAGGAAAAGUGAAGUACAACAACAAACCCAGUGUAUUCCCACUUUGUGGGGUCUGGGGGGGGUAAGAUGUACGCAGUCCAUACCUCUACCUCUGAUGAAGUAGAAAGGCUGUUUCCGAAAGACCCCCGGCUCAAGUUACGAGAUAUCAAACAAACACAUAGUACAGCACAGAAGCAGAUGACAUAACAUAGAUACUGCAGCCAUAAGGAAUAUAAAACAGAGUAAAGCAGGAAUGCAGGAAUAUAAAGCAGAGGAAAGCACACAGAUUCGUAACAAACAUAGAACACGGAACACGGAACAGAACAUUGAAUACGGAAUCAUACCCGGAAUACACCCCCACCAAUUACCUCCCUACAUUAGCGACCCGAACAGGCCCUAAUCCUCUGCCGUAAUUCGCGUCUUCCAGACCUUCCUAUCUAGGGUCAUGUCCUCGGUAAGCUGUAACUGUUCCAUGUCCCGCCUAAUCACCUCACCCCAGUACUUCUUCGGUCUACCCCUACCCCGUCUAAAACCAUCCAACGCUAGCCUCUCACACCUACGGACCGGGGCAUCCAUGCCCCUCCUCUUCACGUGUCCGAACCAUCUCAAUCGUGCUUCCCGCAUCUUACACUCCACUGAAGUCACCCCAACCUUCUCCCGGAUAGUCUCAUUCCGAGCUCUAUCCCUUCGGGUCAGUCCACACAUCCAGCGCAACAUCCGCAUUUCUGCCACCUUCAUUCUUUGGGUGUGGGAGUUCUUAACUGGCCAACACUCCGCUCCAUACAGCAAGGCCGGACGGACUACCACCCUAUAGAAUUUACCUUUAAGCUUGGGCGGCACCUUCUUAUCACACAGCACCCCCGAUGCAAGUUUCCACUUCAUCCAUCCCGCCCCGAUACGGUGCGAGACAUCCUCGUCAAUCUCACCGUUACUCUGGAUCACGGACCCGAGGUACUUGAACUUAUCCCUUUUCUUUACCUCCUGCGCUUCUAGCCUCACCACUACCUCAUUCUCUCGCCUUACGUCAUUAAACUUACAUUCCACAUACUCUGUCUUGGUUCUGCUCACCCUGAACCCUUUAGACUCCAGAGUUUGCCUCCACAGCUCUAAUUUGUCGUUCACACCCCCUCGCGUCUCAUCUAUCAGGACUACAUCGUCUGCAAAAAGCAUACACCACGGCACCUCCCCUUGGAUACGCCGCGUUAACACAUCCAUUACUAGCGCAAACAAAAAGGGACUAAGAGUAGAUCCCUGAUGCAAUCCUGUCAGGACAGUGAAAUGCUCUGAGUCUCCUCCCGCCGUCCUCACCUGGGUUUUCGCUCCCUCAUACAUAUCCUUAAUUACUCUGCUAUAUGCCUGCUAUAGGAAAAGUGAAGUAUCACCAACUAUUUAUCAAAAUACACCUUAACUAUCAAUUGUUCAAUUUCCUACGUGAAAUAUUACCAUCAUCAGGUGGAAAAAGUGAAGAAUCACCAAAAUUAUUUACCGAAACACUGCUUGUCUAUCAAUUAUUCAUUUUUUCUACCUGAAAUAUCAACAUUGUUCAGGUAGGAAAACAAACAAUCAAUAGGUGAGAUAUGUUUUGAUAAAUAAUUGGUAAUAGUUUAGGUAGAAAAUUCGCACACAUGAUACUUCUGCUACAAAACUCAAAGUAUUGGAAUACCUUUGCGGUAUUUUUGAUCAUUAACACAUCUAAAGACUAAAAUAUCUCGAUUUUUCAAAUUUCAUACUUGAUAGUAUCACGUGUAUGAGUUUUCUACAUGAACUAUCACCAACUAUUCAUCAAAACACAUCUCAACUAUCAAUUGUUCACUUUCCCUACUUGUAAUAUCACCCAUCGUUCAACUAAGAAAAGUAAAACAGUUAAUACGAAACUCAAAAAAGCGGGACACUUUAGCAGUAUUUUUGAUCAUUUAACUCAUUUGUAAGCAAAAUAGAGAAGUGGGGUGUAUUGGAUAUUUACAGAUAGCGGAGCAAAACAAUGAGGGCAUUUAUCAUCUAAAGCAACCCACAGAGACCCAGAUUUAUCAAACCAAAGAACGAUAUCCCUAUCAAGUAGCUGAAAGGGUGUAUGCAAAGUAGCGUCAAGAUCUUCAACAGGUGAAACUGGAUACCAGUUAUCCCUCCAAAGAAAACUUCGAAUACGAAGACGAAUCUUGUUUAUCAUCUACCGUAUCACGUGUACGAGUUUACUAUCUAAACUAUCAACAAUUAUUUAUCAAAAUACACCUCAAUUAUUCACUCCUUUUAUAGCUGACAUACUACCAUCGUUUAGGUAGGAAACAUGAACGGUUGAUAGUUCAGACAAGACACUCACACACCUCGAACUAUCACCAAUAUUUAUCAAAAUAAGCCUCAAUUAUUCACUCUUUUUCUAGCUGAAAUAUUAACAUCGCUUAGGCAGGAAAAGUGAAUAGUAGAUAGUUCAGAAAACACACUCACACCUAUCACGUAUACGAGUUUAUUACCUGAACCAUCACCAAUUAUUUAUCCAAAGCACGCCCCAACUAACACUUAUUCGCUUUUUUCUAGCUGAAAUAUGACCAUCGUUCAGGUAGGAACAACACACUCACACACCUAUCAUGUGUACGAGUUUUUUACCCAACAACAACAACAACAAAAAACCCAGUGCAUUCCCACCUGGUGGGGUCUGGGGGGUAAGAUGUACGCAGUCCAUACCACUACUUCAAGAGAAGUAGAAAGGUUGUUUCCGAUAGGCCCCCGGCUCAAGACAAGUCCACACCUAGUUUGAGUUUUCUACCCAAACUAUCACAAAUUAUUUAUCAAAAUAUACCUCAACUAUCAACUAUUCACUCCUUUUCUAGCUAAAAUAUUACCAUCGUUUAGGUAGGAAACGUGAACAAUUCAUAGUUUGGACAGGACACUCACACACAUAUCACGUGUACGCAUUUUCUACCUUAACUAUCAAAAUACACCUCAACUAUCACUUAUUCACAUUUUUUCUAGCUGAAAUAUAGCCACCGUUCAGGUAGGAACAACACACUCACACACAUACCACGCGUACGAGUAUUCUACCUGAACUAUUACCAAUUAUUUAUCAAAAUACACCUCAAAUCACUUAUUCACUUUUUUCUAGCCGAAACAUUACCAUCGUUCAGGUAGGAACAGCACACUCACACACCUAUCACCAGUACGAGUUUUCUACCUGAACUAUCACCAAUUAUUUAUCAAAAUACACCUCAACUAUCAAUUAUUCACUUUUUCUAGCUAAAAUAUUAAUCCUACCAUCGUUUAGUUAGGAAACGUGAACAGUUGAUAGUUCAGACAGGACACUCACAUACCUAUCACGUGUACGAGCUUAUUACACGAACUAUCACUGAUUAUUUAUUAAAAUACACCUCAACUAUCAACUAUUCACUUUUUUAGCUGUUCAGGCAGGAACAGCACACUCACACACCUAUCACCAGUACGAGUUUUCCACCUGAACUAUCACAAAUUAUUCAUCAAAAUACACCUCAACUAUCAAUUAUUCAUUCUUUUUCUAGCUAAAAUAUUACUCCUACCAUCGUUUAGGUAGGAAACGUGAACAGUUGAUAGUUCAGACAAGACACUCACAUACCUAUCACGUGUACGAGUUUAUUAACUGAAGCUAUCACUGAUUAUUUAUCAAAAUACACUUCAACUAUCAACUAUUCACUUUUUUAGCUGAAAUAUUACCAUCGUUCAGUAGAAAACUCGCACACCAGCUUAUUACCUAAACUAUCACUGAUUAGUUAUCAAAAUACUCCUCAACUAUCAACUAUUCACUUUUUUAGCUGAAAUAUUACCAUCGUUCAGGUAGAAAACUCACACACCUAAUAGUUUUAGUUUAGUUCAGCUAUGAAACUCAAGAAACCGAGAUACUUGGAAGAUAAAAUCAUUUCAAAGCAAAAUAGAGAAGUGGGUGUAUUAGAUAUUUACAGAUAAUGGAGCAAGACGAUGAGGGCAUUUAUCAUCAAGCACAACCCACUGAAACCCAGAUUUAUCAAACCAAAUAACCAUAUCCCUAUUAAGUAACUGAAAUGGUGUAGGCAAACUUGGAUCAAUAUCUUCACCAAGCGAAACUGUAUACCAAUUAUCCCUCCAUGAAAACUCCGAAUACGAAGACGAAUCUUGUUCAUCAUCUACUGUAUCACGUGUACGAGUUUAUUACCUAAACUACCAACAAUUAUUUAUCAAAAUACACCUCAAUUAUUCACUCUUUUUCUAGCUAAAAUAUUACCAUCGUUUAGGUAGGAAACGUGUACAGUUGAUAGUUCAUACAGUUCAGACACGACACUCACACACCUAUCAGAGGUACGAAUUUACUGUCUCAUCGAUCAACAAUUAUUUAUCAAAAUACACCUCAAUUAUUAACAUCGUUUAGGUAGGAAACGUGAACAGUUGAUAGUUGAGACAGUUCAGACAGGACACUCACACACCUAUCACGUGUACGAGUUCAUUACCUGAACUAUCACCAAUUAUUUAUCAAAAUACACCUCAAUUAACAAUUAUUUAUCAAAAUACACCUCAAUUAUUAACAUCGUUUAGGUAGGAAACAUGAACAGUUGAUAGUUGAGACAGUUCAGACAGGACACUCACACACCUAUCACGUGUACGAGUUCAUUACCUGAACUAUCACCAAUUAUUUAUCAAAAUACAACUCAAUUAUUCACUCUUUUUCAAGCUGAAAUAUUACCAUCGUUCAGGUAGGAACAACACACUCACACACCUAUCACGUGUACGAGUUUUCUACCUGAAGUAUCACCAAUAAUUUAUUAAAAAUACACCUCAACCAUCAAUUAUUCACUUCUUCAGCUGAAAUAUUACCAUCGUUCAGGUAGGAAACUCGCACACCUGAAACUCAAGAAAACCAAGAUACUUGGAAGAUAAAAAUCAUUUCAAAGCAAAAUAGAGAAGUGGGGUGUAUUAGAUAUUUACAGAUAGUGGAGCAAGACGAUGAGGGCAUUUAUCAUCAAGAACAACCCACUGAGACCCAGAUUUAUCAAACCAGAUAACCAUAUCCCUAUUCAGUAGCUGAAAUGGUGUAGGCAAACUUGGAUCAAGAUCCUCAACAAGCGAAACUGGAUACCAAUUAUCCCUCCAUGAAAACUUCGAAUAUGAAGACAAAUCUUGUUCAUCAUCUUGUAUAACAGUACUAGUAGAUGAUUCUUGUUCUUCAAUAGGUGGUGUUGUUGGAGGUGCAGAUACUCUAAGUGGUAUAAUUGGCCUGUCUUUUCUUGUUUUGAGUUGAAGAAAAUUGUGGGGUUUGGUGAUUGGGAGUGAAGAAUGAACGGAAGAAGAAAUUGAAAGAGUUGGUAAUGGUGAGAAUACUAACAUACAAGAAGAAGAAGAAGCCAUUGAGUUGAUUCUUAUUUUUUUUGUUUUUGAGUUACUAAAACGUAUAAUAUAUAUAUAUAUAUAUAUAUAUUCAAGAUUUUCAAUGGAAGAAGGCUUUGCGUGUAAGAUAUGAACAAUGUGUUGAAUUAUGUUUGGUCUGUUUUUUUACGGUGUGCGGCGGAUGGGGAUGCUCCUUCCUUAAUCAGAAGAGAUUUCGGAUUUGAGUUCUGGGUAUGAAAAAAUUCUUGGUAAAAAGCGUUUCUCCUCGAAUGGGGUCCUAUGCAGCGCGAAUUUGGAUUAGUCGGACUCCAAUGUGAGUACCGACUAAUUAUGUAUCAUUAUUUUCUUUUUGGUCCGUCCCAAAAAAAUGUCGUCUUUACUUAUUUGAUAAAUUUUUAAAGACACAAUUAUAAUUUUACCCUUAGUUGUCUCACUUGAUUUUAAAAAUUAUUAUUCUUUUUUUUAUUUGUCUUUUCAAUUAAAAGUGGUUUCACUUGAAUUUAACUACUAUUAUUCUUUUCUUUAAGAAGGGUAAUUUUAUAACUUUAACAAAGUCGAUACUUAUUUCUUAAAUAUCGUCUCCAAUCAAAUAACCACACAUAAUUUGGGACGGAGGUAGUAUAUGUUUGUAAAGAGGGUCCAGAAAAUAAAAGCUUUUUAUUUUUAUUUUUCAUCCGUAGCGCUUCCUACCAAAAAUUUUUCAUACUCAGACUCCUAUCAAGACAAUUAAGGAGGAGGAACCCAUUUAUUUUUACUCUUUAUUAAAUUACAAAUAAUUCUUUAUUUUGCAAUUUCAGAUACAUAAUUAACAUUCGAAUGCAUAAUUUUAAAAUAGACAUAAAUAAUAGCAUUCACAUACAGAAUUUUGAAAUAAAGAUACAUAAUUUUGAACUUUUAAAAAUAUAGCAAUUAAUUACUUCAUUUUUUUUCUCGAAAACAUUAUUAGCAUCCAGAUAUAUAAUUUUGAUUACCAAUAUACAUCAAUUUCUGAAAUUAUGUAGUUGAGAUACAUAAUACAUUAAUUAGACCAGAGAGAGAUAUUUGGAAAUUUAUGGUUAAUAGAUGUUUUUAGAAACAAAAAAAGAUUUAGGAAAUUAAUAGAAAAGGUAUGAAUUUUAUGUAAUUUAGUAGAGAUAAACUGUGAUGUUAUGUAAUUUUUUAAAAUUUCUUUCGAUACGAGGGAUAACGGAUAAAUAAUACCAAAAUUAGUUUUAGUAUGACUUAUUUUAUACAGAGAUAAAACUACAAAAUAACUUAAUGAGAAAAUGGUUUAUUACCCUCCCAACCUUUAGUCGAAAUCUCAACUACACACUCAACUUUUAAAGGUGACCUAUUACCCCCUAAACUUAUUUUUACCGAAUUUAUUACCCUCCCAGUUGCUGACGUGUCAACGGACGUGACUACACCGCCCAUGACCGCGUCAGUUGAGUCCAUUUCACUUAAAAUUCUUUAUUUUUUGAUUGCCACAUCAUGUCUUCAUCUUCUUUUUUCAAAACAAAAAACUCAUUAAUGAAAUUCUUCAUCUUUCUUAUCUCCAAAUUUUGAUUAAUGGUGUUUUUUGAUAAUUUGAAAAAUGUUAUUACCGAAACCAAGAAACACUUGAACUAAGGAAACAAUAAGAUUUCUCCGAUUAAUGAAUUCUUGAAUGAGGAAUAUGAGGAAUUCCGAUUCAAAAAACUUGCAAAAAUUCAAGAAUUUUGAUUUCCUCUCCUUUUGCUCAAGAUCGCCAUUAAUGGCGAGUUCAAAGCUUUGAAUUUUCACAAUGCCAUAUAUAAUUUCCAACAAAACCCACGUACAAUUUUCAACUCAUUUCUCCAAUUUUCUCUAUUUUUGCUCAAGAUCCGCCAUUAAUGACAAGCUCAAAGCUUUAAAUUUACACAAUGUGGGAGAAUUCGCCCUUAAUAGCGAUCUUGAGCAAGAAGAGAUGAAAAGCUUUGAGGAGCAUUUAUCCGUCAUUAAUGGGUUGAAGAAGAACAUACGUGUGUAUGUGUGAGGUACAUUUACACACUCAUUUUCUAUUUUUGACCCAAGAAGAUGAAGAAAAUGGAGCAAAAUGGAAGAAAAAAAGAAAAUAAUAAUGUCAAAUAAUUAAUUUUUUUAGAGUAAAAAAAAAAUGAUGUGACAUGAUGUGGCAGCGCGUGCAUCACACCACAUGCCCAAAUGACUAGUUGUUGGUUUUCAAGAGGGUAAUAAUUUCACUUUAAAAUAGUUCAAGGGCGUAAUAAUUUCACUAUAAAAUAGUUCAGGGUACCUCAGCAAAGUGUAAGUGUGUAGUUGAGAUUUGAGGUAAAGGUUGGAAGCUUUUGACCAUUUUCUCUAACUUAAUUGAAGUGUUGUUCUUAUCGAUUCCAAAAUAAUUAAUUAAUCAUGUGAAAUAACUUAUUUCCCAACGAAACGAGCCCACGGGAAGAGACAAAUGUUUAUAACUAAUGAAGUAAUUUAAGAUUAACAGUUGUAUGGAGUAAGAAACUUUAAUACUGUAGUCAAAAAUUAAAGUAAGAAUCAUAUCACUUAAUUAAUUUUAAAUAAGCGUUGAAAUAUAUAUUUCUUUUUCCAAUUUAUGUUUUUAUUCCUUAUUUAAGAAGAUGUUAAGGAAUAUGGUAAAGGAAAUCUCUAAUAUAUUUUGGACAGUAGUGGAGUCAAGAUCAUCACUAAGAAAAUUCACAAGUAAACGUACGAACUAAUCGAAGGAAUUCAACAUCUACUAUAUAUACAUAAAAAAUAAUUUUUAUUUAUAUAUAGAGAGAAUAUAAUUUUCUGCCAAAGCGAAUUCGGAUGAACCUGGCCCAAGGGUAGCUCUAACCCCUGGUUUUGGACAAACAGGAAGAAGAAAAUGAGCUUGAAAUGUCAUUUAAAGAAGUCAUUUUUCCAACAUUCUCACUAAUAAGAAAGUCAUUUUCAAAGUAUGGAAAAAUAUGAAAACACAACCUUAGUAGUAGUAAUUUUGUUCUUUGCUUUUCUUUUAUGGAAAAAUAAAUUUAGCUUCAAUAUAAAGGUUGUAUUCCCAUCAAUAUUUUGAGAAAAAAUCAAUUUUCCCCCCUCAUUUUCAAACCUCUUAUUCAAAAUUCUAGCUCAAUGGAUGAAGCAUAUCACACAAAAACCGAACCGACCAAUAAAUCGAACCGAUAAAAAUGUUAUUGAUUUAUUGCUAUUGAGUUAACGGUUUGUUAAUGAUUUUAUAAAAAAAAUUUAUUAGGUUAUUGAUUCGGUUUGAUUUUUUCUUAUUGGGUAGACCGAUAACCCAAUAAGAAUAUAUAUAUGACUUAUUAUAUAUUUCUCUUUAAUUUCUACCAAUUAACAAACCUAUUAUUCCAAUUAUACAAACUCUUAAUUUCUUCUAACAACAUUUAGUUCAAACUUGAAGAUUCUUGUAAAUUAAAACACAUUACGUAGGAUUUUUAAUUGAAACUAAGAUGUUAAUUACUACUAUUUUUAUUUUAUGAGUAUUUUCUUAUCGGUUAAACCGAAAAUCGAACCGUUAAGAACUAAAAAUCGAUGAACUGAAAACCGAUAAAAAAUAUCUUAUUGAUUUGGUUAUUGGUUUAACAUAUUUAAAAACCGAUAAAUCGAACCGAUAAUAUAUAAAAUCGAACCGAACCGACCGAUGCACACCCAUUAUUACAUAUAGUUGUUUCUGACCAAAAAAUUCACUGAUAAGCAACAUCAAGUUAUAUGUCUGAAAGAAUAUUAGAAAAGCGUCAAUCUUUCGCUGCUACUUUCUUUUUUAUAACAGUAGCGUCCAGGCCAGACUGCUCAGCGACCACUCUCAAACAUGCAAAUUUUCUCCGAGAGUGUAACACGGUUUCAAUAACGAUGGUGUCCAGGUCAGCUAGGGCGCUCCUCGAUCACUCAAACAUACAAAUCUUCUAAAGCAAACUAAUUUCUAACCAAGAAAGAUGUUAUUUCUUAGUGUAUGUUUGGUGAUCAGGUCCAAUAUCACGCGAUCCUGUGUUGAUGUAAGGACCGCGAAAGGUCGCUUGGGGUGGCAACGCCUUUGAUGAAUCGAUGACUGGAGUUGAUCUUGAUGAUCUUGACCUGAAUUGCAACAAUCACAACUUUCAAUUAAGCAAAAACUAUGAAAGAACACAACUUUAUUUUUUGACAGACAAUGAAGUUCUGCUUACGCCAUGUAAAACGGAAAGGAUAAGCCAGCAGCUGCAAAGACUAGCAAGCCUGUGGCAACAAUAGCAUUGCGCUUGCGAGACAUCAAGCGAGAUAAAGCAGGCGGUUUCAGUAUCUAACAAAAGGAAGAGAAAUAAGCGAGAGCCAGAAAAUAGAUAUAUGCAGCAUCUUUAUUAGAGAAUCUUCCUCGAACCAAAUAUGAUUUCGACGCAAAAGACUAUUUAUCCAGAUAACCAAAAGAAUUCAUGUCUAUACAUAACAGUUUCAAAGUUUGCUUGAACAAUAUUCACACGAGUUAAGAGACCCCAAAGACGACAACAACGACAACAUAGCCAAGUGGGGUCUUAGGAAAUUAGGAUGUACACGGACCUUACAUCUCUGCCUUUGUAGGAUAGAGAGGUUAUUUCCGAUAGACCCUUGGCUCAAAACAAAGGUAACUGAUGCAGGAAAGUAGAAGAAAAAAGCGAACAAAAUAGCAAUGUACAAAACGGCAUGAAUAAUAGGAAUACAUUCAGGCACACCUUCAAAGUAUCUUACUUCUAUACGUAACAGUUCAAAGUUUGCUUGAACAAUAUUCACAGGAGUUAAGAGACCUCAAAGACAACAACAACGACGACAAGAUAGCCAGUGUAAUCCCAAAAAUGGGGUCUAGGGAGGUUAGGAUGUACACAGACCUUAGGAUAGAGAGGCUAUUUCCGAUAGACCCUUAGCUCAAAGGAAAGGUAACUGAUGCAGGAAAGUAAGAAGAAAAAGAGGAAAAAGAUAGCAAUGUACAAAACCGGUGUGAAUAAUAGGAUUUCGUUCAGGUACACCUUCAACUAUCUUACUGCUACACACAAUAGUUCAAAGGUCGCUCAAACAAUAUCUAUAUAGGUUAAGAGGUAUCCAAGAUGGCAUGAAUGAUAACAUUGCAUUAAGAACACUUGCAACGUAUCAUGCUGCUAAGUGAUGCAGGGGACCGAGGCUUCCUCUUUUGUACUAAUGACAACAAUGAUUUUAUUUCAUAAUCAGUUGGAUUGUGACCGAUUGAGUUUUAUAUUCGGACUUUUUUAUCAAUUUAUUGAAUUCAAAUUACAGCUUCAAAGAAAGAUUUUCAAAUGCCACAUUUAACGCUGAUAUCACAAGACAAGACAGAACAGAAAAAUCCUUUGACUGUACUCUUUUCACUUAAAACUAUGGGUACAAAUACUAAAAUAAAUGAUGUUCUUUAAUAUACCUUUGUUUUGUCAAAGAUAUGAUUAGUAGAUAACAUCUAUAUAUCUGGAAACUGACAAAUUUGGAUCCACUAUAACUCCUAUUUGUGAUGGAAUUAUUAACUAAGCUAUUAGAAAAGUCUUCCAACGCACCAAAGAAUGUGGCCUAGCGGCCAAUGAAGUUAUUGCGAACUUCGUAGACUAGUGUCAAAUCCCAACAGAGACAAAAAACUCUAGGUGUUUUUUCCAUCUACUAAACCUAGGUUAGCAAACUCAACUAAUAUACCUAUACAACAACAACAAACCCAGUAUAUUCCCACAUAGUGGGGUCUGGGGAGGUUAAAAUGUACGAAGUCCAUACCACUACCCUCGAAGGAGUAGAGAGGCUGUUUCCGAUAGACCCCCGUCUCAAGACAAAAGACCAUAGAUCAACAGUCGUGCAACAUGAUAAAGAACAAAGAAACAACAUCCACAAAAAUAAAGUAUAAUUAACCAAAAGGCAAGCAAUAUGCUAAAGUAACAAAAGAACCAACAUUCACCAAAAAACAGUAUAAUUAACAACCCAAGGACCCCCUCCCCCAUAACUGGAACUCCCAACCAAGCUAUCCUUAAACCUCCUAACUACGAACUACGACUCGACCACCCACCUUAGCCUUCUAGUUUAAUACUCUUCCUCCAAACCUUCCUAUCGAGGGUCAUGUCCUCAGUAAGCUGUAACUGUUCCAUGUCACGUCUAAUCACUCCUCGGCAGUACAUUUUUGGUCUACCCCUACCCCGCUUGAAACCCUCCAAGCCAACCUCUCACAUCUACAGACUGGAGCAUCCAUGCCCCUUCUACCCCUAACCCGCUUGAAACCCUCCAAGGCCAACCUCUCACAUCUACGGACUGGGGCACCCAUGCCCCUUCUCAUCACAUGGCCAAACCAUCUCAACCUCACUUCCCGCAACUUAUCCUCCACCAAAACCACUCCCACCUUCUUCCGAAUAGUCUCAUUCCUGACCCUGUCCGCCUUCNNNNNNNNNNNNNNNNNNNNNNNNNNNNNNNNNNNNNNNNNNNNNNNNNNNNNNNNNNNNNNNNNNNNNNNNNNNNNNNNNNNNNNNNNNNNNNNNNNNNNNNNNNNNNNNNNNNNNNNNNNNNNNNNNNNNNNNNNNNNNNNNNNNNNNNNNNNNCUACAAACCGCCUGCGACUCCAACUGCACCACCACAUUGUCCUCUUGCCUCAAGUCGCUAAACUUGCACUCUAAGUACUCCGUCUUGGUCCUACUCAACCUGAAUCCUUUAGAUUCCAGGAUCUGUUUCCAAACCUCCAACUUAUCAUUAACACCUCGGCGCGAAUCAUCAAUCAAAACUACAUCAUCCGCAAAGAGCAUACACCAAGGAACCUCCCCUUGUAUAUUUCGUGUCAACACAUCCAUCACCAAGGCGAAUAGGAAUGGGGUAAGAGUCGAUCCCUGGUGCAGCCCUGUCAAGACCGAAAAGUGCCCGGAAUCCCCUCCCACCGUCCUUACCCGAGUCUUCGCCCCCUCAUACAUGUCCUUAAUCGAACGGAUGUACGCCACUGGUAUCCCUCUCGCCUCCAAGCAUAUCCACAAACCUCCCUAGGAACCUUGUCAUACGCCUUUUCCAAGUCGAUAAACACCAAGUGCACAGAUCCCUCUUUCUCUCUCUAUAUCGUUCUACCAACCUCCACACAAGGUGAAUUGCCUCAGUUCGUCGAUCGACCAGGCAUAAAUCCAAAUUGAUUCUCCGAAAUAGGCAAUAUCUUCCUCAACCUCCGCUCCACCACCCUCUCCCAAAUCUUCAUCGUGUGACUCAACAACUUAAUACCACGGUAGUUGUUGCAACUUUGAAUGUCUCCUUUGUUCUUAUAUAAAGGAAUCACCGUACUCCAUCUCCACGCCUCGGGCAUCUUAGCGAUCUUGAAAAUAUUGUUAAACAAAUGGGUUAGCCACCUCAAUCCCGCUCCGCUAGCAUACUUCCAAAAGUCCACCGAAAUCUCAUUGGGCCCCAUCGCCCUGCCCCUUCGCAUCUUGCGAAUAGCCUCACAUAUUUCCUCGACCUUAAAACGCCGACGGUAGCUAAAAUCGCAAGGCUGCUUAGUGUGCUCCAACUCCCCUAACACAAUACCUCUGUCCCCCUCAUCGUUCAAGAGCUUAUGGAAAUACGACUGUCAUCUUUUCUUAAUUAGAACGUCCUCCACCAAAACUUUUCCAUCCUCUCCUUUAAUGCACUUCACUUGGUCAAGAUCCCGACCCUUACGCUCCCUAGUUUUGGCAAGCCUGUACAACCUCUUUUCCCCGCCUCUCUCCUCUAAACCCGAAUAAAGUCUCUCAAACGUUGCUGUCUUAGCCGUCGUAACUGCUAACUUAGCCUCUUUCUUAGCAAGUUUGUACUCCUCCCUGCACACCCGCUUCUCCUCUUCUUCUUUACUCUCAACCAACUUAAUGUAAGCCAUCUUCUUCGUCUCCACCUUCUUCUUAACUUCUUCAUUCCACCACCAGUCCCCCCGAUGCCGGCCAGACCAUCCCCUUGAGACACCCAAAACCUCUCUAGCAGUCUCCUUAAUGCAACCCGCCGCCCUAUCCCACAUACUAACAACUAAUAUAGGUCAACUAACUUAAUGUGCACGAUUUCCCACUAGCAUAGGUCAACUAAUAUACCUAUGCUAGUGGGAAAUCGUGCACACCCAUGGAAUAGUCGAGAAUGAAGACGCAUACAAGCCGUCCCCGCCGACAUUCUUAUAACAAAAAAGGAAAAAAAGAAUUCAUCCAAAGGGAUUGUUUGAGCAUUAUAGAGAAAGCCAGAACCAGUUUGGAAGGUGCAUAAUAUACACAUUAAUUUUUACGUGGGAGAACGCACAAUGUAGCUGAACUUUUCACAAGUAUUGGUCUUGCUAGAGAGAACAUUGAUGGAUGAUGAGAUUUGUUAUACGAAAGUAGAUUGAAGAAGUAGCUGGAACAUCUCUAAAGAAGGAGGACGAUUAAAGAAACACUAUCAAGUAUACCAUGUGGUUUUAAGUCUUUGGUUUUAGACAUCUGUAGGAAUUAAUGAGGAACUCGUUACAGGAUGUUAGUAAUGGAAAGCACCACCAUGUUAACCAUGAUAGGAUCACCUCGAUCUGCGUAUUCGCAGAUCAGAGAUCUUUAACCAAACACUACCCGAAAAAUGGUUAUGGAAGUAUGCAAACGAAGUUCCCAAGAGCAAGCCAUGUAGAGGAAGGUAAUUUCUACAAAAUACAAUAGCAACAAUUUGGUUAGGCAUACAGAACAAGUUUGUGGACAAGCUUGCAGGCAGGGACCAUGAAGUUUAAAAUUGAUUACAAGUUUAUUGAAUUAUAUUUAGAAAAUGGAAGUGGAGUACUGUUUUGGCUUGAUUUAUGAUGUAGAGACAAUAAGCCGAAUAUAAUUUUCACAGGUAAACCUAAAUAUUUAUCCAACCAUAAGAUCACUCAUAGUAGCUAAGGUAACGAAGAGGUAACGAAGAGGGGGCAUAUUCAACCGUCUGGAGAUGUAUCCUUUUAAAAAAGCUUUACAGAUUUCGAAGUUGGACGAAGUGAGGUCAUUAUAGUAUAUGUACUUCUAUACACAGUUCGGGUAAAAUGAUAGUAGUACGAUAUGGAGAGGGUAUCCUCAAAAUGCUUCUUAAGAAAGUCUUUUUUCAGGAGAGUUUACAAGGGUUGGAGAACCUAGAACAAUGUGAAAAGUUUUGUGGCAAUCUAAAGCUCCCGAGAAGGUGGAAUUCUUCAUGUGGCCUGUUGCGUGUAGAACUGUUUCGACUGUUGACAAUUUGGGGACUGAAAGAUGCAUUUUCUUUAGCUGGUGUUGGUUAUGCUAGAAGCACGGGGAGACAUGAAACACCUUCUAUGACAUUGAACCUCAAAGUAUGGAGCAUGUUAUUCAUUAAGCUCAAUAUUAAUCGAGAGUACCUAAUUCUGUGGCGGAAAUGAUGGCAAGGUUAACGUUAAGUAAAUUGUGGACACAAGGAAACAGUUGCAGACUGCUCCGUUUUGCAUCUUUUUGUUGUUAUGGAGAGAAGUAGGAGAAAAUUUGGAGGUUCCCAGAGCACAAUAUCAAGGUAUCAAAAAAGUUCUCUCUUGUUAUUUCCAUCUUUGAUGCAAACGCGCACACACACACACACACGCACCAUUUUGGUGCUGUAUCAAUAUUAUUGAAAAGAGAACUCUUACCUCAAACGUUAGGACAAGGGAACGCCUUUUUCGCAAUUGACAAUUAGUAGCUCAUUAAUAUACUACAGCAAAUAUCAACAUCUCAAACAUAAGCUAUGCCACAUAAAAAAUCCACUAAGACGUAGCUAGCAUCUAACAUUUAUGUUUUACUAGUUUCAACUAUCUCUCCUUACUCUAAUUAAACACAACAAUCGGGAUCACUGCUCAGAAUUCACAGCAAUCUAAUCAUAGAUUUGACUUUGUGGUCCACUGCAAGUCUGCCUCAAGCCACAAAAUGAAUACAACAAUACCAACCACUAGACUUAGAAAUACUACUAACUCUACCUACCAAUGCUAUCGAACGGAAAGCUCGUCAGCAGCGCAUUUUGAGGGUUAGAAAAUGAAGUAGUGAACACUACAGACUAUAACAACAACAACAUACCCAGUGUAUUCCCACAAAGUGAGGCCUGGGGAGGGUAAAGUGUUCAGAGUCCAUACCUGAAGUAGAGAGGUUGUUUCCAAUAGACCCCCGGCACAAGACAACUAACAGUAUAGCAAACAAACAAACAAAAAUCAUAAAAACAAACAACAAAAAGGGAUAGCACACCACUAAAUAAUAAGACACCUUCAGAAACUAUCUAUCCGAAAUCGCACACGCAUACAACUACGACUAAGGCGCAACCACAAACAAAACACUACUCCCUACUAGUUAGGGCGCACUCCUACCCACUAACUAUCUACCCUAUUUCGCGCCCUCCACCCUUUCCUAUCAAGGGUCAAGUGAACACUACAAACUACAGUCAAUAUUCAUUCUUAGGUAUCUACAACAACAUAUCUAAUGUAGUCUCACAUGUGGGGUCUGAGAGGUUGUUUCGGAAAGUCCCUCAGUAUCGAAUUAAAUGUGGCAGCAACUGACUUAGAUGAACCAAACUAACUAGUCAGGUUUGUUACUCAAAUCAGCAAACUUCAUGUCAUAUGGCAGGUGCUUUUCCUCAGUUCUUAAUAAUAAGAAGAAAAAGACUUCAUCUUGGCAGCAAACCAAGAGCAUACUCCCUCUCUUCACUUUCAUUUUUCACGUUUCGCUUCACCAGAGCACAACAACCACAUACCGUGUAUUCCCAAAAGUGGGUUCUUGGGAGGGUAAAGUGUACGCAGUCCAUACCAAUACCACUACCUCUACCUUGAUGAAGUAGAGAGGUUAACAGAUAACGGUAUAGAAAACAAAAAAACAUAAAAAUAAACAACAAAAUGGGAUAACAAACCGCUAGAUAAUAAAAAAAACAACACACCGACAGAGUAAUACUAUAAACUAUUUAUUCGAAAUCACAAACAUCAUUAGAACACUACAAACAUAAAAAUACAGGCACAGAUACAAACAAAGAACUCCUCCCUACUAUUACAAACGCACUUCUACCCACUAACCCACUAUCCUAAUUCACUUCACAAGAAUCAAUUUAACUAAUUUUUGGAGCUAAACUGAAUUACAUUAAUUUAAUAUUUUAAAUUUAGAUAUUCAAAGAAUUAUAUGAAAAAUAAUAUACUAAGUUGCAAUUCCACUCAUACUAAUAUAAUUAAAAAAUGUACAUAUGUUAAUAUAUUGAUUAAAAUUCAUACAAUUUAACUCUAGAAAACAAAAUUUUAUUUUGAAUUUUAACUAAAAAAAAAACCUUUACCAGGAAGAAUUUUUGACAAUCGCCGGCGAACUGAAGCUUUUUAGCUCCGAUUAUGACCCGACCCGUUUGAUGAUUUUGGUGUUUUGUUUGCCAAAUGGACCGCUAUCUUUUCCCUUUUGUUUUCUUUAUUUCUUAAACUAAUUUUUCAAUUUUAUUUUCCAAAAUAAUAUUUUUUUUCAAUUUCAAUUUAAGUGACAUAAUUUUAGUUCUUGGAUUCGAACUCUAGAUAUGAAAAUGCUAUUUUCGAACAGCCCUAUCCAAUGUGAAUUCAAUUUAAUUGAGCUUCAAUGCAAAUACCGAAUAUCAAAUACAACAACAACAUACCCAGUGUAUUCCACCUAGUGGGGUCUGGGAAGGACAGAGUGUACGCAGUACCUCAGGCAAGUAGAGAGGUUGAUUCUAAUAGACCCGGUACCAAACAUCAAAUAAAAAAAAAAUGAGAUAAUACAUCGAAACACCCCUAAACUUGUAGUCAAAACUUACUUUAGACCCUAAAUUUGUAUGAUAAUUAUUUACUCCUCUUAACAACUUUGAACUGAAUUUAUUUCACCUCUCUAAAUCUUACACAAAGUCAAGACUAGGUAGUGUUGGACACGCGCGUUUUUGAUUCGUCCACGUCAUUUAAUGAAUCCAUUUACUAAAACCCGAACCAACCUUAAUAAAGCCGACCCAAUCAUUAAAACCCGACCCAACCCUAACAAAUACCCCUAAUUUCCUCACUCAACGACAUUUCUCUCACUUCAGCUGUCAAAAAUCGCGAAUUUAGGUUAAUUUUCAACUCUAUUUCACCCAAAAGCAUAUGAUCUACAACUCGAUUAGGGUUCUAACAGGUUCGUUUUAGGGCUUUUCGUAAAUUGUUUAAGUUGUUGUAUUUGGAUUUAGGGUUUUUCUAUGUUGUAAAAAUUGAUUUUGUUGUAAAGACCGUACUUUUUAAAAAAAAAAUUUUAGAUUAUCUAUGGAUUUUGCAUAUAUUGUAUUGAGGUUUCAUCAUGGAGGAAGGUUACAGGAAAAGCCUCGUAUAAAGUACCAUAGAGGUAUUGUUACAGAUUGUUUUGGUGUCGAUAUUGACAGGUUUUCAUACUAUGAGUUUGUUGGGUAUGUUAAAGAAAUUGGUUAUAAUGUUGAAUCGUGCAUUGUCUAUAUGAGACCUCCUAAACGUAAUUACCUAGUAAAAGUGACUUGUGAUAGGGAUAUUUUGGGUAUUGUACCUCAACUUAAAAAUAGAGAUAUUGUUCAGUUAUAUGUGUCACAUUUAGUAAAUGAACCCCACUUGGUCCCUGAAACACCUGCUAUUGAAUAUAUUUUUCAUGUGGGUGGGGAAUCUUCUACUUUUUUUGACAAAGAGUCUAGUCAAGACCGUGGGAUAAGUGAAAAAUUAGGGUUUGAAGAUGACUUUGUAGAGGCUGCAACACCUCAAAAGCCUUUUGUGAGUGAAAAUUUAAAUAGUGGUGUUGCUGCUACUAGUGUUGGAGAGUGUAAUGUAUUUAGUGCUAUUGGUUCUAAUGGUGAGGAGUUAGGUGGUGUAGAGGAAAAUUUGGGUAGUGGUGUUGCUGCAACUGUUGUGCAGAACUUGAGUAGUGCACCCUCUACUAGUACUGUUGAAAAGAGUAGUGGUAGUGGUGUUGCUGCUACUGUUGAAUAGAACUUCAAUAGUAUGGUGUGGGGUUGCUGCUAGUGGAGAGCAUAUUUUGGGUAGUGAUUGUUGUGUUGCUCCUCAUGAUGAGCAAAAUUUGGGUUGGACUAGCUUUGUUACUGCAUCAAAUGUGCCAAUAAUUCCAUCUGAUUGGGUAAGUGAAUCUGAUGAUACUGUAAAUUCAGAUUAUGAAGACUUUUUUUAUGAAGGUGAAGAUGAAUAUGGUAGUGAUGUUCAUGAUGAAGUUAGAGUUUUGAGGGAAGAAAAGAGAGCUGCCAAAAAGAAGAGAUCUGAAGAAAAAAAAAAGAAGAAAAAAGAGCCUAGAACUGAAGGGGUUAGUAUAAAAAAGGAGUUGACUUAGGAUAUGAUGAGUUUUUAUCUAACAAAAAAACUACUUUAGAGGGAAAAAUAGUCGAAGAUGAGCCAUAUUUUGAUUCUGAUGAAGAUGUUAGCUUUGAAAUAGAUAGUGAUGAUGGCAAUGAUGGAGAUGAUGAAGUAGAACAAUCUGGAAAAAAAGAAAGAAAAGCAAGAAGAACAAAAAGAAAUCAUAAGAGAAUUGUCUUUGAUCCUACUUGUAAAAAAAUAGUUUGGGAGCUUGGUCUUUGUUUUGAAAAUGUUCAGCAAUUUAGAAAAGCUAUUACUAUGUAUGUUGUGCAAGAACAUGUAGAAUUAGACAAGUAUGUGAAUGGACCAAAAAGAGUGAGAGUAAAAUGUAUUGAUGGUUGUCCAUGGUUGUUGUUUGGAAGCCAUGAUUCUAGAACUGGAGAUUUUCAGUUGAAGAAGUAUAAUCUAGUCCACAUAUGUAAUGCCACAAUCAAAAACAAACUUGUAAAUUCAAAGUACUUGGUAGAGAGAUACAGAGACAGGAUUAUAUCUAAGCCUGGUAUUAGAGUUUUUCAGUUUCAAAACUUGGUGAAAAAAGAAUUGGAGGUAUAUAUUGGGAGGACAGUGGCAAGAAAAGCUAGGAAUAAUGUGUUGCAGCAGAUCAUGGGUGACCAUGUAGAGGAAUUUAAAAGGAUUUUGGAUUAUAAAGAUGAGCUUUUAAAGACCAAUCCAGGUAGCACAUGUGUGGUGAAGCUUAGUAAAGAAACCUUUGAAGAUGGAAAAAAAUAAUUUGUAUCAUUUUAUAUAUACUUUGAUGCUUUGAAGAAAGUAUUCAAAUCUGAUGCUAGGAGAUGUAUUAGAUUUGAUGGUUGCUUUUUGAAAGGUGUUUGUAAAGGUCAACUACUUGUGGCUGUUUGUAAAAAUGGGAAUAAUUAGAUGCUACCAUUAGCCUGGGCAGUGGUUGAAGUUGAAAACACAUUCAAUUGGAGAUGGUUUAUAAGACUUGUGAAGAAUGAUCUUGAGUUGGGAGAUGGGUCUGAAGUGACUACUAUCACUGAUAUGCAGAAGGUAAAGCAUUUGUUAUUAAUUGUCUUUAUUUUUUUCUUUUAACUAUAUUUUCUUUUUUAACUAUAAUCUAUAACAUUUAUUAUUUCUUCAAGGGUCUUGACAAUGCAAUUACAAAAUUGCUAUCAAAUGCAGAACAAAGAAUGUGUGCAAGACAUAUUCUAGCUAACUGGUCCAAAAUUUGGAAGGGUAUUGAAAGAAGAAAUUAUUUUUAGAAGUGUGCCAAAUCCACAUAUGAGCAAGAAUUGAGAAGAAAUUUGGAUCAUAUGGAGAUUUUAGGUGAUAAAAUUUGUGAAGAUCUUUUGUGGUAUAACAUAGAAAGAUGGUCCAAAGUGUACUUUAAGUAUCAUAGUUGUUGUGACAGUGUUGACAACAACAUGGCUGAAAGUUUUAAUUCAUGAAUAUUGGGGCCCAAACAUAAGAAUAUCAUCACAAUGCUUAAAGAAAUAAGGGUCAAGGUGAUGAGAAGAAUAGGACAACUGAGAGAGUUUGUUGAUACUUAGUUAACUGAUAUUUCUCCAAUGGCACUAAAAGUAUUGCAAGAAAACACAACAAAAUCAAUGAAGUGUACUCUUGAGUGGAAUGGUGAGUUUGGUUUUGAAGUUAAGGAUAGCUGUGGCAAUACUUUCAUAGUGAAUUUGAGAGAUAGAAGUUGUACUUGUAGGUCUUGGAUGUUGAAAGGUAUACCUUGUUGUCAUGCCAUAGCUGCACUACAUUAUAGGAGAUUGGAGCCAAUUCAUUAUGUUGCACAUUGGUAUACCAAGGAAACCUACCUCAAGACUUAUAGUUACUACAUCCAGCCUGUUGUUAAUAUGCAAAUAUUAUCAAAAUCAACCAACCUUUUUGUUUUACCUCUAAUAAUAAAAAAACUGCCAGGCAGACCUGACAAAUCUAAAAGAAAGGAGUAAAGUGAAAACAAGACUGAAAAGUUGUCUAAACAUGGUGUUGAGAUGAGCUGCAACAUAUGUCAUGCCAAGGGUCAUAAUAAGAAAGGUUAUCCUUUGGCUACAAGUUCAAUAAAAUCCAGUGUAGGUUCCUCUGCUGCAGCAGGCACAAAAAAAGGAAGAGGAAGACCAAAAGGGUCUACAAAGGUAACAAUUGACUUGUCAUUUACUACUAGUUCAUUUCUCUGUUAUUUUCUUACAUUUUUUGUUAUAUAUUGUAGGUUGUUGCUGCUGCUGGUAGAGGAAGGGGAGUUACUGUUGUCGAUGCUGGUAAAGGAAGGGGAGCUAUUGUUGCUGAUGCUGGUAGAGGAAGGGGAACUGAUGUUGUUGCUGCUGGUAGAGGAAAAGGAGUUGAUGUUGUUGUUGUUGGUAGAGAAAGGGGAGUUGUUGCUGCUGGUAGAGAGAAGAAAGUUGAUGUUGUUGUUGCUGGUAGAGGAAGAGGAGUUGUUGCUGCUGGUAGAGGAAGGAGAGCUGUUGUUGUUGGUAGAGGAAGGGGAGUUGCUGCUACUGCUACUAUAGAUGGUGUUGGUAGAGAAAGGGGACCUGCUGCCGAUGUUACUGUAGGUAGUAUUGGUAGAGGAAGAGGAGUUACACCUGUUGCUGAUGUUGGAAGAGGUAAAGGGGCACCUUGUAAAAGACCUAGGAUGGUUGGAAUGGGGGUGUUUCAAACAAAAAGUGGUUAUAAAAUUCUCAAUGUAAGUUAAAUUUAAUGAAAUUUUUCUAGUUUAAAGUCUAUCUUUUAAAAGUCUUAAAAUAAAUUUGUUCUACUUUGUUUUUUUAGCCUGGAAUGCCUAUGAACUCCUCCAUAGUGACUGGACAUCUUGGACAUCACAAACUCAAAUCCGGUGUGAAAUGGAAAGGAAAGAAAGCUACGACACAACAAGAUCUCGAAGUAAUGAGAGCACAGAAAAGGAUAAGGACAAGCUCAAAUGUUGCUGAAGUGAAUUAUCUAAGCCAAACAAGUUCAUCAACCUUUCAGUAGAAGCAGUCUGAUUUUUGUUUUUGUGUAUUGAUGUUGUGUACUGAAACAAUAGUGACGUCCACUUAGGCAAUUUCUAUUUUGAUUAGUGACUUCAAUUAUGCAGCUGUGACUGCACUUCUGGCUAUAUAUUUUUGUUAGAAAUAUGAGCAGCUGUGACUGCAUUAUGUUGAAAAAUAUCUGUUUGAAGCAUUUAUGAUUCUGUGUUUGCACAAUUCUCAUUUGACUAUAAGUAGUUGUGGUUAAUGAUAGUUUUUGCAGUCUUGCUUAACUAGUUGUGACUAUAAGCAGUUGUGGUUAACUUCAUUACAAAAGAAAAUGCACCAUUACAAAAAAAAAAAUGCUUAUAAUACAAUCAAUUCAACUACUUUUCUUCAUAUAUAUCAAGACAACCAACAGCUGAAUACAUUACAAAAGAAGCUGCACUACAAAGUACAACAACCAAGUGCUCAAGAGACAGUCACCAGCCAAAGUAGAUUACAAAAUAAGCUUAAAGAAGCAGCACCAAUCCCAAAAUAAGCUAGAUAUCUUCUAACAAGAACAACCACCUUAAGGUAACCUCAUUGAACCUUUCUUUAUAUGUAUCAUCCCAAGCCAAUAGUUUAUAGCUAUUAGUAGUGGAGAACAACAAAACACAACUUCUUCCAACUUCUCCAAUUUCAUAUCAACGCAAUUAUCAUUUUUGGAUUCUUUGGGCGUGUCUACUUCAUGAGAAGGUUCCUCAACAAAUUUGUUCAACUAAACUUUUUCAACUUCAUUAAUCGAUGCAUGAUUGUCAAUAUAUUGAGAAGACUCAACUAAAUUCUCAAGCUCACCUAAUUUUUCUAUUAGUUUUAGAAUCACAUAUUUGGACCUCGGAUCAAUAUCUUCUCUAUCCCUCCAGCACCAAAAGUCGCAAAAUCUUGGACCCUUCAAUGGUGAAAAAUAAAGAAUGAAUUAGUCUUUAAUCAAGUCUAUCGGAAUAGUAAAAGCAAAAAAAUUGAUAUCUACCCUAUAAUAAGGGCAUGCCCAAAAUCUUCUUCCGGGAUUUCUCGAAGUCCAAGAUGUCUUCAUAUGCAACAAAAAUCCAUGAUUACAACGAACUUCUUUGUACAAAGCAUUAUCAUUUUCUUCCAUACAAAGUUUAGUCAAAUUAACCGACCUCAUUGCGUGCUAGAAAAAUAGAUUACGGUUCUUCAAGAGCAUUUACAUUUGAAAUGGAAGAGAAACCAAUCUCAAAAUUAUGCUUAAAUUUCGGAGAGGAAGCAGAUUUUGAGAAAUUGAGGAAGAAGAGAAGUAAAUUAAGGUUUUUGAGGAUGAAAUUGGGUUGGGUGAUUUGGGAUUUAUACCCGUUAAGAAAAUUUAAAAGAAUAUUUUCCUUUAAAAAAAAUUUAAAAGGCAAAGACAAGACUUCGACACGUCCAGCAACACGCGAUCUCACUUCGUUUUCUAAGGGGUGAAAUAAAUUCAGUUCAAAGUUUUUAAGGGAGUAAAUAAUUGUCAUACAAGUUUAGGAUCUAAAGUAAAUUUUGGCUACAAGUUUAGGAGUGUUUCAAUGUAUUAUCUGAAAAAAAAAAAAAAAAAAGACAUAAUUUUAGUUGAGAAGCAUUUUUAAAGUAAUAAGAAAGUUAAAAGAAUAUUAAAAUUUUACUUUUUUCACUUAUACUAUUCUCACAAAAUUUUAAAUUAUAAUUUUUAUAGUCAAAGGAGGAGGGUAAGUAUAGUUUUAGCAUAGGUAAGACACGUGGAGUUUUCCACCUUAAAAGUUCACGUCUAACAACGUGUUCAUUACUACUUUCCAAAAUUUCAACUCCCAAACACAUCCCCAAAACAACCAUGACCGACCGGAAAACACCCACCUCCGCCGUGAACCACCGUACAAAUCCCCCCAAAUCACCUGUAAACACCACAACCACCACGAAAAAAAUCUCAAAAUCUGGACAACCCCACAAAGUCUUCACUGAAAAAGACGAAAUCCAGGUCCUCAAGAACCUAUCUCAACUUCCAAUUAGCAUGAAAGAUCCUCUCCAUAACUUCACUGGAAAGCAGAUAGCAAAGAAGCAGAAGAGACUCAAAGAGAAGUACCACAAAUUUGCAAGAACAAAAUCACUAAUGAAAACUCCACACGACAGAGAGGUUUAUGAACUUGGAAGGAAGAUUUGGGGCAGAGAUGCUAUCAAAGAAAAGGAAAAAUCACACAUAGAUGAUGUGAAUUUGGAGGAGUUUCCAUUUUUAGUGAAUGAAAUGAAAGUGUAUUUUCCAAAUUAUGAAGAAGGGUUGAAGAGAUUGGGGGAGAAGAAAUUGAAAGAAAUGAAUGAGAAAUGGAUGGAGUUGAAGUUAGAAGAAUCUGAACUUAUGGUAAAUAAAAGUCAAUUGUUUCAUGAAAACUUGAAAUUUGUUGUUGAAGGUUCAAUGGGUUGUAGCAGGAGCAAUGUGAGUUGAAUUUGGAAAAUUGAAGUGUUAACCUCAGUACUGUUAAGCAGUAAAAAGAAAAAAAAAUGAAUUUCCUAGUGUAAUUCUGUUGUAUGUUGUUAUGAUGAAGUGUUGUAAUGGAGUACUUUCAUUUAUUUAUGUUUCAUCAUUUGGCUGAUUUUGGGUUUUAUUGUAACCAAAUUAGUUAGGCAUUGAGUAGUACUAAUUGGAAUUUUGAUUACCAUAUUAAUUGAAAAUCACAGUUUAUUUGAUUUUCAGUUUAAUAGAUCUGAAGGCAGAUUGUAAAAAUCUUGGAACAAAGCUCACAAUAUGAGUUCAUUCUAAUAUAACCAUACAUCUUUUUAACUAAAAGAAGAACAAAAUCACACAUAGCUUCCAAAAUCUUUGAUCUAACACAAACUAGGGACAUUUUCGUGGUGUUUUGGGGACCUUUGUGAUUUUGGAAAGGUAGUUCGUGGUGUUACUCUGGGUGUCUUGUUUCUUCAAUUAUUCAGUGGUGUGUUAUUAUAUUUUGUUUGUUUUUGUGCUCUCGAAUUGGUAUAAUAGCAUGACAGAUAAUGGCAUGUGUCAUGAGCCGAGGGUCUAUCGGAAACGGCAUAAUACAUAAACAUGUUCUUUAACUUAUAUAAAGUUAAAUUAGUAAACACAUGCAUCCUAUGUGGCAUAAUACACAUAGGAUGUCAUGUAGGACAAGAAUUAGCCAUGUGGGAUGUCACAUAGGACACAUGUAUCGACUUGUUUAACUUUAUACAAGUUUAAGUGUCUACUUGUGCACACCCAAAUUAGCCAUCUAUGACCUUCAACUUUGGGUGUGCACAGAUAGGUACUUAAGCUUGUAUAAAGUUGAAUAAGUAGACACACAUUUUCUAUGUGACAUAAUACACAUAAGAUGUCAUGUAGGACAAGAAUUA